AAUAGACAUUUUAGAGCUCUCCCUGAAACACACAUCAUUGUAUUUGCUUAUCAUGGUAUUUGCUUUAAGAUAAGAUGUUUAAAUUGUCUUGUAAUAGUUGAACUAUGUAUGUAAUGUAUUUGAUGGUAAAUGUGACUGCAGCCGGAGGAGAUUUGGAGAGAACCAAGCCGAGAAUUGGUGGUCAGAGAACCGAGAAAAGGUAUACGAAAAAUACAAUGUUCGUAGCGUGGACAAGUCUUCUACCCAAGCAGCACAUAGGGCAGAGGAUGCUGGUUCUCCUGUGUCCCAAAUUUAGGUAAAGUAGAGGGAGGAAAAUUCUUCUUUAACCCCUUUUGUCACAAUGAGGAAGUUGUAGGGAAGCAAAAAUGAAUAUCAAGAAACCACUCAAACUCAGGAGUCUACGAAAACUCGUGGAGUGUCUGUAGACUCGACUCAAACUCGGGCAAUUUUACAAGUUGGCUCGAUUGUUUAACAAUCAUGGUUAUAUUAUUUAUUAUGUCUAUUCUUAUUCUUAUUCUCUUCACAAUCUUUUUACCCUUUCCUUCUUUUUUUCCACAAAUUAGUUGUCUCUUAUAUUGUAGUUUAGUGUAUAUAAAAUCAUCAGUUCACAUAAUUUCGGUGCAGGAACAACCCUUACCCAUUUAACCUUUUAUUUUCUUUGCUUGUUUUUCGUUGUUUCUAGCACACUUUGCCUUAUGAGUAUAUUCCUAUGCAUUCAAAUUCAAAUAUAUACAUGGUGAUAGUUAUUAUAUCAUUCAUUCAUUUUUUUCUCUAAGAGAUAAUAUUGUACUUGGUCUUACAUAAUUGGUUUUUCAGUGCCACCUUUUUUAAAAACAAAAUAAAUUGUUCCCAUUUAGUGUAUAAUACUAGUAAACGUUGUCUUUGGUGCAAUUUCAACCUUAUCUUAUAGAUGUCAAACUUUUUGGAUGGUUUUAAAAAAAUGAAGGUUAUGGUAACUUGUGAUCAUUUUUAAAUGAUAGAUCGGGGAUCGACAGCUAUUUUGAAGAAGCAAUGUGAUUGAUAAAUUGUCCUAUAAAACAUAAAUGUUUUAAUGCUCUCAAUUCUAUUUCCUUUUGUUAAAGGAAAACAAUUGUUUCCUGGUGUUUAGUUUCGACUUUCACAUAAAAUACGAUCGAAACACUAACCAUGACCGACAAUUCUUGUUCAAAGUCUAUUUAUUUUUAUAGGUGAACAGUUCAUUAAAACACCAACGACGAUUAAUGACAUUUAUUGAAAAUAUAAGUUAACGAUAUUUUUGGUUUUAUAGAUGAGAUAAUUAUUUAAUUGAUGUUAAUUUAAUAAAAAAAUAUAAAAUUCAAUUGUGUGAAUUUUAACCGGUCCUCCAUGGUGAGCACCCAUCACUCUCUCAUAGAUUUUUUUUUUAAAAUUUUUUUAUAAAAUUAUUUUAAUUUUUUAAUUAUAUUAAUUAUUUCUUUAUUAAAUUAUUUUUAAUUAUAUUACUUCAUUUUCUAUAAUUUAUAAUAAAUACAAUAAUAAAAAUAUAAAAUAAUGUUUUCUUUUUAAAAAUAAACUACUAAAACAAUUUAAAUUGUUGAUAUAUUUAAUAUUACAAUUAAUUUUCUUAAUCAUCUUAAUUUAGUUAAUACACAGGGUAGAGGUAGUAUAAUUUGGUAUUUGGUAUCGUUGUAAAUGUAACUCAACAAAAUGAAGCCACUUGUAUAACUUUCAUAGGCUACCGACAAAUUAACAGUAAUUGUAGUAAUUGUAUCAUGUUCACCCAAUCAACAGAUAAAUUACCUCUAAAUUUCAAUGAAUGGUCCUAAUACUAUUUUUUAACCAAAUCUACUAAAAAAUGAGAUUAGCCACCCUUCAAAUCCAAAAAAAAUUAAUAUUAAUAAACAAUUUUUGACUUGGGGCUUGUCUUUGAAAAUGUGUAUCUAUAAUAGAUAGUCUCACAAAGUCACAUGAGGCUUUUGAAAUUGAGACAUGACACAAGAUAGCUAAACCCUCCAACAAAGAUAUCAUUUUGAGGAACCAAUUAAAAGAAGUUUCUCACUCUUUUUCAUAGAGUCAAUUUUACUAAGUUUACAUUUAUUAAAAAAUACUAUAAAUAAAAGAAAAUAAUAAUCACUAAAUUAUUUUUAUUAACGGUGUUUUCUUAUUAUUAUUAUUAUUAUUAUUAUUAUUAUUAUUAUUAUUAUUAUUAUUAUUAUUAUUAUUAUAAAGUGAAAUAUAAUAUUUUAAAAAUAAUAUAUAUUAUUAGUUAGAAAGUACAAGAUAUUCUUUUUUUUUUGUUGGUAAAAUUACCUUUAUUGUGAGAUGGAGGGAGUAAAACUUAUGCAAGAAUACACUAAUUAUUCUUGUGAGCUAUAACUUGUAACCAUGUGGAACAUGCGACAUAUUUUAGUAUGUUAGGUGGUCCAAGUGGAUCUAGAUUUGAGGAUGGUGAGAUGAUCGGUGCGCUGGUGAUUGGUUUGAGAGUGAUAAUCUACAAUCAAUUAAGUAAGUUUGUGUUUGAGAGUGAUAAUUUUUAUGAUUAGAAUAUUGUGUGCCUUUAAUAUGUGUUAGACAUUCUUUUAUAGGACAUCUUUUAGAGUUUUUAGAAUGAGUCUAUUAGAAUUAUGAUAUUAGAAUUAUGAGUUGUAUGAUAUGUGAUAUGUAGAUUAUUAUAUCAUUUCAAACACGUGUUUUGAGUACUGAUUGAAAUAGACUAGUAUGAGUGAUGUUGUACGAAAUAGACUAGUAUGUGUGAUGUUGUACGAACUUCUUUUGAUGUGACUUUACUGAUUGAAAACAAUUUUAAUUGGUGAAUGAAACAAUAUCACUUAAAUCUCCUUAAAGGACUGAACACACAACAACAAAUAAAAUUUGAAAUGAUUUGAAUUGAUAGUGUUGUGAGUGUUUAAAGAUUGAGGAGUUAGUAAAAGAUAAAGUGUUGAAUUGACUACACAUGACUAGAAAAAAAUGUUAUUUUUUAAUUUUGGUCCAAUAUAAUUGAUUAACAAUAAGAACUUAAUCGAGUAAAAAUAGAAUUCUCUGAUACAAGAUCGCGCAUUAAUCAAUUACUGCAUAUAAACUUAUUGAUUAAUCAAUAAUAUUAUUUAUUAAUUAAUUAACAAUGUUUAAACAAUUAUUUACUAUAUCUAGCUAUCCUAUAUCAAUAUCUAAACAUUCAAACAUCUAAUAAUUAACACAAUUGAAUCUUAAGAUUUAAAAAUAAUUAAUAAAAAUUCGGGUGUUACAUUUCUGAUUCUCCCUACCCCACAUCAAGUGCGACGAAAAAUAAACACCCUCCUCUUUUUAAAUAAUACUAAUAUUUUAAAGAUGAAAGUGUCACGCCACCUUUAUUGAGCACUUAGGAAAACCAUUUUUUUUAGCAUAUAUGGUUAACUUGUAUUUUUUUUUUCUAAAGAGUUUAACAAUAUAAAAUUGCUCGUACAAUUCUUAGUGCAACUUGUAUUUUCUAACCAAACAAUUAAAAGUAGUACAGAUUGUAAUAAAAUUGAUUAUACAUAGCAUAUGUUUGGUUUUAUUAACAAAAUCACUUUUGCAAUAUACUAUAUAAUUUUUACAAAAUUACAGUAUUCACCGUAAUUUUAUCAAUUUUAUCGGGAAACCAACCAUACACAUAGUAAUAGUAGAUAUGUACUUAACUAAAUUUGCAGAGUAUAUCACUGGUUUCUCUAUGCUUUCAUACACAAGAGUUGUAAUAUAAAGUUAAACCACAUAGUACAUCUUGAUACAAGUAUGAGUGAACUUAAAACAUAUGUAUUCCUAUGUUUCAUUCCUUAAAAUUUCCUCAAAAGUGUCUAAAGGGAGAAAAUAAUACAGAGAAUGUUAAAAUAAAAUUAAUCAUGAUUAACUACAACAACAUAAACUUUAAUUACAUACAUUUGUGUGUGUUAACCUUCUGAUACUCAAGAAAAAUGAAUCCUAAUAAUGCAAAGUUCAACUGAGAGAUAAGUAAAAUCUAACUAAAAAUUGUUUCAACUAAAAUUUGAGAACUAUGGUUCAGAACUCGAACGAUAAUUCUCUACGGCUUCCCCUUUGAGUUGUGUAAUUCAAUACCAUUGUGUGCCUUUGAAGGUCCAGAAGGUGGCAUUGGCAUUGCUUUAGGCAUGGAACCUAAGAAAUUUUGAUGUAAACCUUGAGACUUGACCUUCACAUAAAAAGCUUGAGUAUGUCUAGAACAAGAGGUACCACCAACAAAAUAUAUUAGCAAAAAGAGUAGCAUUAAAAAUACAUGAAGAUUCUUCAUAGCCAUUUAAACCAAGAAAAAAAUGGCAAAAAGAAGAAGGAAAAAAGAGAAGUAUGAAAGGUGCAAAGUAGAAGAAAAAUAUAUUAUAUGGUAAAAAAAGAGUGAGUGGGUAUAUUUAUGAAAGGCAUAAUGGAAGAAUUAAAAAGGUAGCGGCAAUGAAGGAAGUGUAUGUGCGGAAACACGGGGGAAAUAAAUGCAACAUCAUAUGCUUUAAUAUUUGGAUGUUAGGAAUCAUCUAAAAUUUUAUUUGCCUUUUUUGGCAUUAAAUGAAACAAAGCUAGUCCAUAGUAUUUAAGGUUAAAUAAAUUUUUACUUUUUAUAAAAAAAAUAAUUAAUUUUAGUCUUUAAAAAAAUUUCUAAUUUCGUUUUUGUAUAUGUUUUUAAGUCAAAUCAUAUUUAUUAUUUAAAUUUUGAAAUAGUUUUUGUCAUGUAUAUUUAGUACAUUACAAUGUAGUAAAUAUAAUUGAAAAGAAUCAUACAAAAAUUUAAAAAUACAAAUAAGUUGAAUUAAAAGUAAUGGUCAUUAAUGAAAUUGAAAAUUUUUUUUGGAGAUUAAAUAAUUUUUUUAUAAAGACUAAAUUAAAAUUUUAAAAUUUUAUAGAAAUUAAAAACUUAAAGAACUUUAUGUGUUGCUUUUUAAUUGGAUUUUUAAACUAGUUUACACUUGUUAAAAAUCAAUUAAUUUGACUAAAAUACUUUUUCUUCAUCUAAAAUACUCUUAAUUAUUUAUUAUUUUAUUUCAUAUAUUUUCUCUAUCAUAAAUAAUUAUGAGUAUUAUUAAUAAAAUAAUAGUUAUUUUUUAAAAAGCCAAAAUAAUAAUAUUAAAUAAAACAAAGUACAAAGAGAGUCUCACAAGAAAUAAACACAGAUUUCUUUUACAAAAAGCGAUAUUUAAUAAAUUAAAAAAAAAAAGAGAGAGAGAGAGUAUAAAUAAUAUUUUCACACCAUAUAGUGUGAGUCAAUAGUUAUUUUGUCCAAUUAAAUGGAGACUAGAAAACCUUGAACAGGACAUUAGGAAGUGUGUUCUAACUUCCAUGUCAUAAAAGUGGUGAUAAAUGAAUACACAAAAGAAAAUUGAAUAUGAAAUUAAAAGGGUCCAAAGUUGUACCUCUCUAUUUAAAUAAAAUAUAAAUGUUGUACAAAAGUAUCUUGAGAGCAAAAAAAGGAAGUUGUCGUUUGGUUAGGUGAGUAUGUGGGCCUCCAUGGAAAAUAAUGGAUAGGUAAAUAAUCUUUUAAGUCUACAACUAUGGUACCAAGUCUUUACUGCAACAUUGAAAUGUUUUCCUAUAUAAUACAAUAAUUUCCCUCUUUUACUCUUAUCAAUUUCAUGAUUUUUUUUAUAAUAAAAAAUAUAUUCAUUUAUUUAAAUCAGUAGAAAUUACAACAAUUAAUAUUAUAAUUUAUAGUUGUUAAAAAUAAGAAAGAUGAAAUUGCAAAUAAAUUCACAUAUAGAUGCACAUUAAUAGCAUAAAAUCGCUAAAUAUUACGAAUGUGACAAAAUCUACAUACACGACAAAAUUGAUAUGUUGUAAAUACUUAUGUAUCUAAAGCGACAACUUUAAAGAUGUUAAAAUCAUUAAUUGUAUUUGCAUUAGAUCGAAGUUGAUUUAUCAAUUUGAAAUGAAAUGAAUACUGCAACAAGGCAGAACACAAAAAUAUCUCAUUAAGAUGACAAAAUUACGGCAAAAAAAAAUUAAAUAUGUGUAAAAAAUACUUAUUUAACUAAAAGAAAAUUGAAGAAAAAGAUUUCACAUAAUUGUAAAUAAUUGAAGAAAAAGAUUUCACAUAAAUUACUAUGAAAAUAAUUGUAAAGAGUUCUCACAUUUCACUUAUUGAUGGAAAAACAGCCUUAACCCAUUGGUGGAUCCAUUUAGUUUGUCUUAUUUGGUAAGGUGAGUUAAAAUUUUGAACUCGCAGAUAUUAGUUGAGAUAAUCUCAGUUUUUUUUAUCGUUUAUUUUUUCUGCCUCAUUUUUAUUUAUAUUUUAUGAUAGAUAAAAUAUUAAAAUAUCAAUUAUAUAAAAAAAUAAUAAUAAUUUAAAGGGAAAUACUAAUAAGUGUCCUGUUUUGGAGCACUUAUUAAAACACUAAAAGUGAAAAUUUAAUUUUAAAAAUGAUCCAUUUGAUUCAUUUAAAAUUUAAAAUUUAAUAUUUUCUACACAAUACUUUAUUUUCAUUUUUUAAUUUCUUAAUAAGUGUCCUUAUUACACUUGUUACUAUGACUAUAACUUAAAAAGUAAUAUUUACGACAAUACCACAAAAUAUAAAAACUUAUUUUGAAAUACAUGGUGAGAGAGGAGGGAGGGAUGGGUGUUAUUUCAAUUAUAUUAAAACUAUUUUUUAAAGAUUUAUAUAUUAUUUCUUGUCUCUCAAAAUGAAGAUUGCUUGAAUUAAAAAAAGUUGUUUAAAAAAGAAUGUGAUUAUCAAUUUUGAUUAUAACUUAAUUUUUUUUUCUUAUAGUACUCUUUAAUAAUUAUCACAUAAUCAAUUUUUAAAAUAUUAUUGUAUUUUAUAUUAAUGAUAAAAAAAAUAUCAAUUGUCAAAAAUUAAUAAUUUAAUUAAAUAAUUUUUUUUAAUUAUUGUAUUUUUUAAUAUAUAUGUAAAAAUCUUAAAGAACAUUAAUUGGAUGGAAUAAAAUUUAAGAAUUAAAAUUGAAAGCUUGAUUCCCAAGGACCAAGGUGUUGACAUAAGAAGAAGGGAAUUGAUGAAUGAGGCGUGUACUGCAUGAGUGGAUAGACCAAAAGUGUAAGGAUUUCAUGACAUAAUUAAGAGUUGGGUAUAGUAGUUAGGGGCCCAUGAAAUACAUAUCUAACAUUUUCAUACAUGUUAUGUAACACUUGGACCCCACGUGCUAUGAUUGAUGAUAGUAGAGUAGAUGUUAUAGAUUGUGUUGUAAAUCAUUCACUAUAUGGAAAAAUCUAUGCUCAUACUUCAUGAAAGAUAGUAAAUAAUUAUACUGCAUUUUCGACAAAAUUUAAGAUGGAGCAUGGUCCACUACCAAUAAGUUUUAAAAAUUGUUUAAAAUUUAAAUGAUUAUAUAUAUAUAUAUAUAUAUAUAUAUUUAAAGUAGAUAUUAUUAAGUUUUUUUAUUUUUACGACUGAGAUAAUGAUAAAUGAUAUUAAUUUAAUAAAAUGAUUUUAAAAAGAUUUUGGUUCUUAUGAAUAUAUUAUAUUUCAUUUUUAGUUUUUUAAAUUUUUUUCUUCAAAUAAUAGUCUCUCAAAUAUUUUCUAUCAAACAAUUUUGAUUCCUAUUUUUAAAUCAACUCAUUUGCAUCGAUCUAAUUCUUGAAUGUUUUUUGCAAUAAUGUUUAGAAUAUUAUAAGAAUGUCUCAGAUAAAUAUUUAGAACUUUUUAACAAAAGAUUAAUUAAAUAAAAAAUUUUAAGCGCUAAAAGCUUAAAAAAGUUAUAUUUAAUUAUUCUAAAUUUUUGUAAGAGACAUUCUUAUUAAACAUGCAUGUAAUAACUCAAUUAAAAAUUCAGACGAUACAUAUGAAUUGUUUUAAAAGCAGGAAACAAAAUUAUUAACGAAAAAUAUUUGAGAGACCAUUAUUUAAAAAUAAAUUUUAAAGGGACUAAAAAAAUAAAUGAUAUAUUUAUAAGGACCAAAAAUUUAUUUCACCUUUUAAAAAAUGACCAACCUUGCAAAUUAAAACUUAUUCUUUAUGAUGGUUACAAAAAUUUUAAUAAGUGGAGUCAAGGUUAAUUAUUAUAAAAAAAUAUUAAUGUAUAACUAAUAAAACUGAUGACAUCAACAUUAAAACAAAAAUUAUAAAAUUGAACAUCCAAAAAUUAAAAACACCUUAAUAUCAAAAUAUUGUAAUUGAUUUCUAGGUGUCUUCAUAUAUUGAAGUGUUAUAAUUUUUUUUUUUAAAUUUUUUGUUCAACACUAUAAAAAAAUAUAUAUUAAGAUUUUUUUUUUAAUUUGUUUAGGUGUAAUUAAUUAUUUUAAAGCAUGUGGGGGUUAGGUUCCCCAUUUGUAAUGAGUAGAUAUGUCCUUACUUACUCCUCCUAUCUCAAUUAUAAAAUAAAGUAAUUAACUAAAUAUAUUAAGAAUAGUAAUUAAUCUUUAUUUUAAUUUAGUGGUAUGGUAAAAAUAAAAGUAAUUUCAUGUCUUUUAACUUUUUAUUUUUUAUUUUUUUUAUAAUCUAAAUGAAUUCCUUUACAAAGGAUAAUUAACCACUUUGAAGGCAUGCAAAUGAAUUGUUACGGCAAUUAACAAAAACUUUUAAUCUAAAGUGGCACUAAUGUGAUUUAUUAGUGAAAAAAAAAAUGAAAUAUUAGAGAGAUAAAGGUAAGAAAAUCACAACAAAAAAAAAAAAAUUAUGAUUCAUUCAACGUAUGUUAAUUUAAUUCUCACAGCACUUUUUACUCAAUCUUUUUCCUUUAUUCAUUCUUGACUAUGCACUUGAAUUUUCUUAACUUCAACAAACUUAUACUUGUAUUUUUUCUUAACUAAACAAAUUUGAUGAUGUUUAUAACAAAAUGAUAAUGAUGAUUUAUUUACAACUCUAACAAUAUAGGUUGAAAUAAUAACACACUCAAAUAUUUGAUCCUAGAAUCUAUGACAAGAGCAAUAGUGUUUUUUCUGAAUAUUUGAAUGAAGAGAACAUUGUUAAUUUUGCGCUUAAGAAAUGAGAGUAUAUAUGAUUGGUUGUAGUCUAUUGAAGAUUGCAACUUGAAGAACCUUCUUAUUAUAUAAUUGGGAAAACUUAUUUUUACUCUAAAGGACAUUUAUAGUCGUUGAGUACAUGUCUCAAUGUGUUAGAGUAAAUAUUUUAAAUGUCCUAUGCAAUUCUUGGUAAAUGUAGUCUUCUGUGAGGGUGUUAACGAAUACCGUCUUAUGUAUGAAUGUGGUAGAGGUGAUUGAUCAUUCUCUUGUUCUUUUGACAACUUGCAAUGAGCUUGCAAUGAACUAACCACUUUUUGUUUUAUGUACUUGCAGUAUAGAACAUCAUCUUCUCAUUAUCCUUAUGUUCGAUUGUUCUCAACAUAGAAUGUUCUUCAUCUUGAUACGUGAGGAUGUCUAGGAAAUAUAUCUUGUUUAAACAAAAUGUAUGCUUGUCUUUUGCACGCAUGAACAAUGUUAGUUUGUCUAUUUUCAUAAGAUUCUUUUGUCUCAUGUUUUCAAGAGAAUGACCUUUUGUACUAUGAGCAACAUUCCUUUUGCAUAUAUAUUAAAUGCAUUAGUUAUUUUUUCCCCCUUCACUUUUAUCAUAUUGAAUAUCCCUUGAUUUUCAUGAAUAUUCCCUGAUUUUCAAUUAAUGAGAUUAAUAAUGAACAUGUUCCAAUUUUGAGGAUAAUUAACAUGUUUGUUUAUGAGUAUAUUUCAAAUGUUUGUCUAAGCUCCAUUAAAAACAUGUCUUAAAAUUAAACACCCAUGAGCACAUAUUAAAUUAGAAUUAACUAGAUUUUGGUCUAAUUAAAAUCAUAUAUUAAUAAUAUAGAGUGCUAAAGUAUCAUAUAAUUAUUAGAUAUUUUAAAUAUGUUGACAUCCUUAGACAUCUAUCUAUCAUUUGAAGCACUAAAAUUAAUUGUAUUAAUAAUGAUAAGCAAAAUAAAACAUGGGGGAAUUUAAAAAAUACUCAAGGAAACAAUGAAAUUUAAAAUGCACAACUGCUUCAUUAAAAUUCCUUUCUUAGAAAAUGCAAUGGGAUAUAUAAAAGAAGGAGGACAAAUAGUGCCAUAAUUGACAACAAGUCUUGCAUAAAAUAAAAAAUUAGAAAGCUCUACUAUAUUAUAAAAUAAGUCUAAGCUCAUGCAAGUUUUUUUUUUUAAAUCAUAUAUUAAUGUUAAUUAUGUGUGUUCCCCAAACCAUGCUACAAGUGCCUAUGACCAUACAGAAAGAAGUAAGAUUAAUCUUGCAAUCGAGAAUUUCUUCAAACCAAAUCCAAUGUUUUAUCGCAAAAGAACACUUCAAGAAAAUGUGUUAGCAUUUUUCAAACUAUGCCCACAUAAGUUACAACAAAAGAGCCAAGGAAUACUUUUUUUAGCUAAAUUAUCAUCUGUUGCAAUGAUAUUUUGAAUGAUUCUCCAAAGCACCAACGAUUUUUGCAAGGGGAAUAAUCGAGCUCCAUUUUAAUUUGCUCCAGGACUCAGUAAUUUGAUGACUAACUUGAGCAACACAUGGAGGAGAAUGAUAAAAAACUUGGAGAGUAAUUGGGAAUCCAAUCGGUCUUGUUAAAUAAUAAACAACCUGAUUCGUUUAUUUCUUAAUCAUUUUCGAUUUUUUUCAUAUAUUUGUUUUACUUUUUCAUUUUUUUCGUAAAAUAAUCAUUUUUGAAAGUUUUCAUAUAUUUGUUUUACUUUUAAAAAAAAAAAAUGAGAAUUUGAAACUAAUCUAAAAACUAUUUAAAAUAAAAACUAAUUUUAGUUGUUUAUCAAAAAAUUAUUUUUUAUAACUGAUAGUUUUAAAAAGUGUAAUUUUCUUUGCGACAAAUAAAAACAAAACAAGUUAUAUUUUUUUUUUAAAAAUCUCUAAAAAUAAUUUCAAAAUUAUCAGAUAACAAAGUCAGUUUUUUUUUAAAAUCCCUAACAAAUAAAUCUUAAAAAACUAAUUUUAAUCAUUUAUGAUUUUUGUCCUUUAAUCUAUUUAUAUAUUAAAUUAAGAGACAGGAAGAUACUCUCUAAUAAACUCUUUUUUACAUAAAUUCCACCGUAUUAUGUAGUGCCUAUAUAAAAUUAUAACAUUGGUGAUAUUUAUGUAGAUUUUAAAUAAUAAACAUUAUAAAUAUAUAUUAAAUAGUGUAUUAUUGGUAACAUAGCUCUUAUAUUAAUUUUGAAAGAAAAUUGUUUGUUAAAGAUGAAGUUGUGAAAGUUUAUUCUUUGGCUUCAAUUCCCAUCGAAGUCGUUAAGUAGAAAGUGUUGAAAGAGUGAACAUCACAUAGUAACAGUUAACAGCAACAAACAAAAUUCUCCAAUUUCCCUCUUUCAUAAAUUAGGGUUUCUUCUCGCCAUGGCCGACGGCUUCUGGUACCGGCAGCAGCAACAGCAGCAUCACUCACUUCAUCCCCACUCCGGCCAGGUCAAACGACCGCGUUCCGAUUACGGUUUGUUUCCCCUCUUUCUUCUCUUUUAAUUUCUUCAUCGCUUCAAUUUUGUUUCUUUUGUAGUUCUUUUCGUACAAUUAAUUUGUAUUUUUUAUUUCAUUUUGCUUUGAACACUAAAGUUUCAAGAUUUUAUACAUCUGUUGUGACAUUUGUGCUGAUCUGAUUUUUGGCAUUUUCAUUUGAGGAAUUGAAUUUUUGUUGUAGUUGAAGAUUGUGUUUCCAAUUGUUUUAUAAGGUUAAAUUAAGAAAUGAUUACUUCAUAUUUCAAUGUUAGGGUUUAAUGUUGUAGGUGUUAGAUCUUUAUUAUCCUAAUCAUGGUAGUUAAAACUGUGAUUUUGCAUGUAUGAUUGUAAAAGAUCUCAAUAACAAGCAGAAUCGGAAAUUAGUGCAAUUGCGUAGGGUCGAUCAGGUCGAUCAAUGAUCUUAUCCGUGUAGUCAAUGGGAUUCCAGCAUUUUCUUGCAAUCCUUAAUCUGCAACGGUAUUUUGCGGGCAGAUUGCAUUGGUCGUAGCACUAAGCAGGCGCAAAAAGAAGAUUAAGUGAAAAUCUUCGCUUCUCUGCUCAUGUCGUGUGACGAACCACCAUCCUAAGCCCCACGCUAUGAAGAUGAGAAGAAUAAAUUGUAGAAGAAGAAUUGUAGACGGCGGCGCUGUUUGUAUUUGUGUAUGUUGCGGCUAGGUUUACAUAUUAGGGUUACAUAUCAAAUCAAAUAAUCUAAUAAUUGGCUUAUGUUUUUGCUUGUAACAAUAAUAGGCUGAGAUAAAUAAUGGGCCUGCAAUCCUGUAGGCUUUAUUCUUCAUCAAGCACUACAAAUAAGAAGAAAAGAAAAAACGCGAGGCAGGAACCAUUGUCUUAAUAAUAAUGCUUAAGAUGGAUAAAAAAUAUACAAUUAUAAUAAAAGUAGAAUAGUAAAAGUAACAUAUAACAUCAUAAAAAUAACAUAUAACAUCAUAAAAGUAACAUAUAAUGACAUAACAUAAUCAAAUAAUAAAAGUAAUAUAUUAUUUAAGUAAAUAUUAUAACUCAUUUUGGUAAAAAUAAUUACAUAUAUAUAUUUUUAUUAUAAAAUUAAAAACUAUUAGAUAUAUAUAUAUAUAUAUAUAUUAUAAAUAAAUUAUUAAAUAUAUAUAUGUAUNNNNNNNNNNNNNNNNNNNNNNNNNNNNNNNNNNNNNNNNNNNNNNNNAUAGAGGCUAUACCGCUCCCCGCUAUCCUGCUAACCCACUUUUGGGGUCGGCCACUAUCCAGGUUCUUGUUCUGCAGCUUGGGUUGCAAAAAGCCAUUUUUCCUGGGUUAAAUCAGAAACCUGAAAGUAAGUCAGGAUUGUGUAUACCUGAGUUCGACUGUUAAGAGGUUAUGUGAGUUCAAUUUCGGCUGCUUGAACAUCAUUUGAUUCCGACUUCUGCAAGCGUAUUUGAGUUAGACUCAUUCGCUUCCAAUUUCUCUGCUGCAACCGGCGAGCAUAUAUGUUUUCUCUCUCUGCCUCCUCUGCUAUGAGGUGUAAGCAUUUCUGGUUCUCUACUCCUUGUUCAAUGUUCUUUCUGUCUGUGUUCUUUGCUUGUCACCUUCACCUCUUCGGAAGUCUUCCUUCAGUGGUUGGCACUUGGCAUGACACUUCAUGAUUACUGCUUCAUCUUAUUGAAAGUCUUUUACCCCCAAAACUCUUCAACCAAGUUGGGUUAGGUGUUUAUUGAAACUUGAUGGGCAAUGUUUUUACCCCCCACAUGAAAUACAUCAACAAUCUAAUCUUAUGCUUCUCUGUUAAUUGUUUUCUUUUCAUAAUCAUUAUUAAUAUAAAAUAAAUAUAAAAAUAUGUAUUGUAAAAUGACCAUAAAUAGAUAUUACAUUCUCACUUGAACUUUGUUAAUAUUAUAAUUAUAUUAUACUAUUAAUUAACUGCAUUAUCAUAUUGAUUCAUUAAAAUGUUUUCAAUGUUUUCAGUAGGAUCGUACAAUCGGUGUAUGAUUCCACAAUUUACAGUCUUUUAUUUUCCUUCCAAAUUUAGGCAAGAUGCCAAGAUCUUUAAAUUUUGACCAAUAAUAGGUUGCUGGUGAGGCUUCAAUUGCAUGUAAUAUCUGUCUGAUUCAAUUUCAUAUGGGUUGGGUAUUUUGAGGUUUAUGGAUUGAACAUAACAGGAUGGAUUAAUUAACUGCAAAACACUUAAACCAUUAUAUGUUGGCAUUCGUGAACAUAGUCUUUUGAGUGUAUUUAUAAACUAAACCAAUUGGACAAUCUAAAUAUCAAGAUUGCAUUGCCAAGCUGUGGGGCAUUCUCGUUGAUGUGUUUUAAGUUCUUAGUGAUUAAGUUUUUCAAAAACAGACCAUUUUAGUAUCAUUAUGAUUUCAAAGCUGUAAAUUUCAUGUAAAUGCAACGUUGACUGGGUGACAGCAGUGUCCAUUCUUAAAAUUGUGAGUUGUCAACGGUUAUUAGUGAACAAAAAGUACAUAAAAGUUAAAAUACUUUUUGUGCUUUUUCAAAGUCUAUCUUGGAACCAAAACAAUUAAUUCUUCUUCAACAUUGUUCCACCAUCUCAUUCACUAAGGGGAAAAUUGUCUUUCUGCAACAAAAGCACCUAGUUUGUCAGAUGAUUUCUCAUUGAACAUCACUCAGCUUUAUAAAAAAAAACUUGAAAAUGUGCUUGUAAAUGCUAGCAAUUAGGCUUAUCUGUCUAUAACCUUUUUUCCAUCGAAAGGCCUGUACUUGGGCAUUAAGUAAUGAAGAUAGAAUCUGUACUUAUUACAUGAUUUCCUUCAUGGGAUUCUUCUCCACUUCAUAUUGAUGUGAUUUCCCUUUAUAGCCUUCCAAUUUCCAACCACUCUUGAAGAAAGAAAUUGUAAAACCUUCAAGUCUUUGGUGUUUUUUCCUCCAUAUUUAUGUCUUUUGGGAUUCUUUGAGCUUUCUCCUCUUCAAAGAAUCUUUCCAAUUUAUAACCUUUAUCAUGAGAUAUAGGGCAACAAUCCAGUUCUUCAAUGAGUGGCUUAUAAUGGUUUUUGUUCUGAGUGAAUAUCUGUGUAUAAAUAAAUAAUAAUUCACUUGCAAUCAUUACCUAAUAAGACUUCUGUCUUCAUGCCAUACUCCAUUUAUGCGGCACUUGAGACAUGCUUCCUAGGUAGUUAAUUCCAGAUAGCGGUGCGCUGCGGCCAACCCCAAAAGUGGGAUAGCGGGAUAACUCUAAUUUUUUGAACAAAUUACAUGAAUAAUACUAUAUAAACCUAUAUUUAAUGCAAAAUUAACACAUGACUCAAACUUUGAAACAUUCAUAAUUAGUAAAAAUCCACGAGUCUCACUCUUAGUCAAAAUAUACAUUGAAUACUAACAAAAGGCAAGGAAAUAAAGAUGCAUAUUGAAGUCUUUAACACAUAGAGUAAUAAAAUAACUAAAUAUUAAAACUCAAAUGCAUGUUCUAGCAUAGGAAUCAAAGAUAAGCAUCAUCAUCAUUAGCAUAGUCUUCUUCCUUGGUGAAAAUAGAAACAAAAGAAAAGAGAAGGAAGAAAUAAUAGCAGAAUCUCGCUGGGAUCUUGUUUCAUGCUAUCGCGGACUAUGCUGUCGCGGUCCGGCACUGCACCGCACUGGGAUAGUGGGAUCUCACCGGGAAACGCUUGGAGUAUUUGGUUUUUUUUCCCUCCAUAUUUAUGUCUUUUGGGAUUGUUUGAGCUUUUCCUCUUCAAAUAAUCUUUCCAAUUUAUAACCUUUAUCAUGAGAUAUAGGGCAACAAUCCAGUUCUUCAAUAAGUGGCUUAUAUUGGUUUUUGUUCUGAGUGAAUAUCUGUAUAUAAAUAAAUAAAAAUUCACUUGCAAUCAUUACCUAAUAAGACUUCCGUUUUCAUGCCAUAAUCCAUUGCUGCAGCACCUGAUGACAUGCUUCUAGUGUCAAGGAAAUGAUUUUCACGGUUAGCUCAGUUGAUUCUCACGCUUCGUAGUCAUGAUGAUAGCCAACAAAAUAUUUGCUUUAGAUAUUGCUUUUAGCAUACAAUAAUCUAUUUCCACUCCUGCAUUUCAUCAAACAGAUGCUAGCUCUGAUUGUAUCGGAUAUGUUUUGUUUUGUCUGUUUUAGAGCAUUGGCAUCUUAUGUGCCAUUGUCUUAAAUCAUGGGCAUUCUGUGAAUUGUGUGGAAGAAAGAGGGUUGAUAGUACCUAGGAGUCACAUUCCUUGAAUAAGUAAGAAUGAUGAAAUUUUUCUACGUGGAAACUUCCUUAUUGAGGACAUAUAAUACAUGUGAACCCAUUCUUAUAUUGCAAUAUGGAUUUGAAGAAACCACCAUGAAUAUUGCAUUGCUGUUUCUGCAAAACAGGCUUUAGCAACCACCAAUGCUAAAGUGGAUGCAGCGGAUGCUGCACAGUCACCGUUAUCUUACAUGACUAUUUUUUAAGAAUAGUGCUGUACUCUUCACAUCUUGCUCUCAGUCCUGUUGCCUAGAACUAGUAACCUGUUGCACAAGUUAACGAAGCAUAAAAGGGUACAAAACUUAGUUGAUGUUAAGUAUAAUCAAGCACUGCAGCCAUUGCUUAGAAGAUACCAUGUCUGUGCUAAUAUUAACCCAAUCUCAUUCAAUUAUAUUGACGAGUGUAACAAGUUGCUAGUCUGGAGGAUAAUUAGGGACGAAGAUGAUGCUUGGAUUGGGAGGGUCUUUGAGGAUGAAAAUGAUGGUACUCGUAAUUAGGAAUCUAUUUUUAGGGAUACAUGAGUUUGAGAGCCUAGAACAUGUAUUAAACAAAGAACUAAAACAUUGAAAACCUCGUGCUGUAGGUGCUUCAUCUAAGACAAAGAAAGGUUUGGUAAGUGCAUCUUCAUCCAGAAAAGAAAAAGAGAAAGCCGUUGAAGUGGAAGAUUAUGCAAUGUUGGAAGAAUCGGAAGAAGAAUUAGAAGACAUUGAUCUUGAAGAGUGAUAAGUAGUUGAAGGACAUGCCUCACUAUCCAACAAUAAGCAUGAUAGUUUUCUAGGGGGGAUAGGUCAAGGAUAAUGAAUAGAGUUGUUGUUUUGUUUACUUUUUUAGUGUUUUUAACAUAUUGUAUAGAACAAUUGAACUUGUACACUAUGAAGUGCAUACUCCAACACAGACACCUGACACAUAUGGAUACAUCGACACCACUAAUGUAAAAAUAUAGGACACCGAUACAUAUAUGAUGGUUUUUCACCUUCAUUGAUGUAUCUACUAGUGUUGUUUUUGGAUCAAAAAUAAUUUAAAAAAAAGUUUCAGCCACCGAAAAUAUUAUUGGAUUGAGUCGCGAACUAUGUCACUCUCUUUAAGGUGUUUUACGACAUUGCCUAAAAUUGUGCAAAUAGACUAUCAGCCACGUCCCCAAGAUAAAACAACCCAGAUGCAAACUGUGUCGAUAUUCUACUAUACUGUAGAAAACCGUUCUACAAAUUACACCGUUGAUAUGGCUAUUAUGGCCACUCAGAAGUAUGGUACUACGACCACUUUGAAUCGGACGGGACACAUUUAUUAGGUAAAGGGACACAAAGAAACAGAGAUGAACAAAAGAGGGAGAAGAGAGAAAACUUGGAAAAGGUUUGUGUUUUGGUGCACUUUCUGAAGUGAACGGAGUCCUCUGAAACUAGUUUAUAUUUUCCUUUUAUUUAAUUUUUAUGCAACAUAUUUUGUUAGUAUACACUAUACGUUUCUGUUCCUCAUCUGUAUUCUUGAUUUAUUUUUCAUACUCCUUGUAUCCUGUUUCAUUUUGAUUAACACCAUGCCGUGUGUCAUGGUUAUAUUGUUGCUUUUUGUUAAUGAUUUUUAUCUUCUGAUAAAUAGUUGAGGCGAUUUUUUGUCGUAUUCAGUUGUCUUGGGGAUAGGUUGGACAUUGGAUUGAUUGAUUAGUUAAUGUUAUUAUUUUGUUAGACGCUCACUUUUUUUUAUUAUAUUCAAUGUUUAGCAGUUAACGAGUAUGAAUGAUAUAUAAUAUAUUAGAUAUGAAGAUUUUUUAUGUUAGAUAUGAAUGAUAUGAAGAAUUUAUUUUAUUAUUAUUAUUAUUAUUAUUAUUAUUAUUUAUUAUUAUUAUUAUUAUUAUUAUUAUUUAUUAUCUUUUACAUUGCAGAAAUGGCAGCUUCUGGUAUGCCUACAGGCAAUGAGAUGCAUAAUUAUCUUGCUCACGAUGAUGACCGUUCUGGUCACCAAGCGGUAAAGGACACAAAAACAAUUGGAUCUGCUUAUGAUCGCUACCUUCAGAGUGGGGUAACAUUUCAUCCUUUAUAGUGGCUCAUUUUAUAUUACUAUUUUUUUUGGGGCAUUUUCCCUGCUUGUAAGCUGAAAACAUGCAUGUUAUGUUUUGAAGCAACUCUCUUCAUUUACUUCUGGGGAAGCCAGUACAAUUGGUGGUCUUGGAUUGCCAAGGGGUGUUGGUGGAUUACCAAACCAUUCCCUAGGUGAUCCUGCUGUCAUGGGGCGUCAUGGGGGUCCUGAUCUUGCACCAAAUGGACGGGGUAUUAAUUAUGGUUUUCAGCCACCGAUGGACGCAAUGUCCAGGCCUGGACCCGAGACAGCACUCCUACCCCCAGAUGCUUCAAGUACUUUAUAUAUUGAAGGUCUGCCUUCUGAUUGCACAAGAAGGGAAGUGGCUCGUAUCCUUUAUGUUAUGAUACAAUGCUUUGGAAUUGUAUUGUCUUGCUUUCAUGUAUGCCUCUUGAGCUUUAUAUAUUUUAACGCUGUUUUAUAUAUAUAUUCCUUAACGUCAUCUUAGAUAUUUUCCGCCCUUUUGUUGGAUAUAGAGAAGUGAGACUUGUAAGCAAAGAGGCCAAACAUGUAAGUGUACGUUUGUAAUAGAUUUCUGGUUGUGUUGAAAGCUGAAAUGUCCCCUUUAUGCUGAAAUGCCCGUUUCUUGCAGCGUGGAGAUCCUCUGAUCCUUUGUUUUGUGGACUUUGCAAAUCCAGCUUGUGCAGCAACUGCUUUGAGUGCCUUGCAAGGUAUCAUUUCUGUAGUUGUAUUUACUGAUAGAAAGGAAAUCAGUUUGAUUUAUAAAUAACAUGACAAUGACACUAACCUGACUCAAACAAAAUCGGUUGUGGUUUAAAGGAAAUCGGUUGGAAAUUUGUUAUGGUUCAAAGGAAAUCAGAUGUAGUAUCCUUACUUGACUCAAGCAACAAACUCACUGUUUUAAACUCUUAGGAAUGAGAAUGUUAGAUGGUUAUGUGUUAGGACUUAGCUUAGUAGAGUUAGUUAAUAAUAAUAGCUAGUUAAUGAGUUAGUUGAGGUUUAUAUAAGGCUGUUUAUAUGAAUAGGGAGGUUAGGGAGUUAGAGAGAUAUCCUUUGAAUAUUGUAAUCAAUUGUUGAAUAGAGAAUAGUCUCUAUUGUGAAGGGGAAACCCUUGGAGGAGAGAUUGCUCUCCUAAUUCUUAAUAAAAGUGUUCCUUCUUAGGAAUCCGAUUCUUGGGUUUCCAACCUUGUGUUUAGUACUUUAGUUAGGAUUAUUGUGUAUAAAUAAGUAGUUACGUAGUUGAACGCGGAUGACUGAAAUUGAAUUUUGUAAACAUUUGUUAAAUAGAGAAGAGACUAUAUUGUGAAGGGGAAAACCUUGGAGGAGAGAUUUCUCUCAUAUUCUUUCUUAUCUUUUCUAAAUAUAAGUGUUCUUCCUCUAAUUCCUUGGAAUCCAAAUCUUAGGGUUCCUAAUAAAAACCCAAGAUUUGUUGAGUUGGUAUCACAUGGGCUAGAUAGAAGCAAUAUUUUGGGUCACAUCGUUGCAUGUGAUAGAUGUUUAUUCUAUUAUUAUUCAGAAUUUCUUUUCUCUACCAAUAAUUUCAAUGAAAUAUUGUUCCAUUUUAUCAUUGAUAUCUAGAAAUAUCAAUUUUCUAUUUAAUCAACCAUAGAAUGAUAGUUAAAAUUGCUUUAUAUCCAUUCUUUUAACCCCCUUUUUUCAGUGUGGUUGAAUUUAAAUUAUAUAACAAACAGAUCAUACUUUUAAUUUUGGUGCAAACAAAUAUGUUAUUCAUUAGUUAAUGGAAAUUUAGGGACUGGGAUUCACUGCAUUCAGGCCCCUCUGACUGCAAUGCAGACACUUGGGACCGUUUGAUUAAGAUUGGACUGUAUAGAUUUCAAGUUCGGAUUUUAAAUUUAAAAAAAGUUAUGAUCCGAACUUAAAAUCUAUACUGUCCAAUCUUAAUCCGACAGUCCAGAUGCACUGAUUGCACUGCAGUGAAUCCAAGUUCGAAAUUUAGGUCGAGUAAGAAUACUAUUACUAAAUAGCUGACUUGACAAGGACAGAAAAUACAAGAUGAUUCACUUAAACUGUUUAUCUAGAAUGCUUAUUUUCCUGAAAUGUGCUCCGAUGGUUGGCAAAGUUAAUGGCCAUAUUCAUAUCCAUGAUUAUCACAUUCAUAUCUAUGCUUAGUGAUAUUUUAAGGAAUUUGGUAUUUACUAACCUUGUGGUUCGGGCACAGGUUAUAAAGUCGAUGAAAUCAGUCCCGAGUCUAGUCAUUUGCGGCUUCAAUUUUCUCGGUAUCCUGGUCCAAGAGGUGGAGCUGGUCCGAGAAGUGGACCUGGUCCAAGAAGUGGACCUGGAUCUCGUGGUAAGAGGUGACUCACAUUUGGCUACAAUCCUUAUUAGAGCCCUUGAGAUGCACAAAUUAUUAUUAUUAGUAACAGCCUGAAAUCAAAUAGCAAUUUCAUUUUAGCAAAUUUACUUUUGGUGGUGUAUCAUUAUUGCUAAAUUAAGUAUGAACCUUUACUUUGUGGUAGCCUUUACUUCGUGUUGACCAGUAACUGUAAUAUUCAAUUAUGAUUUUUUUUUGGUAGUCUAAUUUAUGGUAGCCUUUAUUUUGUGUUGGACCAAUAACUGUAUUAUUCAAUUUUGAUAUCUUUUUUGGUUAUUCAAUAUUAUCCAUUUACUUGGUAUGCACUUACACUUGGGUAUGUGCUUUACUACUACAGAGAGCGAAUGUAGAUUGAUGUUUUCACCUUCAGCUGCCUCAACUUUCUUUCAUUGGUGAAAUGGCCCAAAAUUGUUUUAUUUUUGUGGGACAUUAAGCUAGCUAGUUUUGACAAAUGGACUAUUAUAGGGAUCUAUUGUCUACUACUGAUAGAUUUGAUGAUAAAGCAUUUAAGGUGUUUGGCACAUGGACAUUCUGCUUAGGAUGGCAAGGAUGAAUGUGCAAGAUUUUUUAUUUUAUUUUUUUCAUGUUGGUUUUGGUGGUUAUGUACAUAGUAGAAAUACCAAAUGAUAAAAAAUGGGAAAUGCUGAUAAAGAAUAAGAAAAGGAAAUAUAAUUGUAAAGUUGUGCGAUCAAUAUUUUGAAAUUUUAAAAUGUGAUUUUUUCAUGUAACAUUUUUUAUUUGUUUUUAAUAAGUGUUCUAAGAGCACUUGUUAAUAUGAUCCUAAAAACAUUGAUCGAACCUUAAGAACAAGCUUAUUUUGUUACAGCAUGACUUUUUUUGUCGAUUUCGUAACAUCUCUUUCUAUAUAUAAGUUGUUGAUCUACAAAUGACGAGUUUGCUCUAAUUAAAGUUGAUUCUCAACUGAAUAGUCUUGGAUCGACUAAUACAUCAGUCCUUUAGAACAAGAUUCCCUCUAGUUGAUCAAUUCAUCUGGUUCAAACUUCAUGAUAGUUCUACACCCAAAAAAUCAACAUGAGGGUAAUCAUCUGAAAUCUCACAUUAUUCUAGAUUAUUCAAGAAGAUAUCUUACACUCUAAAAAAGUUACAACAAAAACGAAUCAAUUUUAAAUUUCAUGACAAUAGUCCAUGUUUGUACAAGAUCGUCCAAAUUAUGUGAUACAAGGUCAUACAAAUUAUGUGCAACAUUCAUCCUUAAAGACCAAUGAUAAAAAAUUGCUGAAAUCUUUGCAACAACUUUAUUACAUGACUGCUAUAAAUAGUACACUACCUCAUUUUAGAAAAUAAUUGAAUUUCUAAAAAAAGCUAAUGAGAAAAAGCUUUUGAGACACCAAGAUAAAUAUUCUAAAAAAUUCAGUGAACACUUAUGUUCAAAUCAUUUAUUUUGAAAGUUUAUUCACUUGUAAUUUAUGCUUAAAUAUCUUAUCCUCUUUUGAAAAGAAUUAUCACUUUGUAAUUCACAAAACCUUGAUUUUGUAACAUAGUUCGACAGUGGCUGUUGCUCCCAAAAGUUUGACCGUACUAAACUAGAAUCUUAAAAAGAGUGAGUGUAGUUAAUUAAAAAAAAUAUAAUUUAAUAGAAAAAAUAGAGUUUUAUUUAAUAGCGAGAGAUAACCGACCACCGUGAGAUGGCUGAAUCACUCCCACCAACCGAUCAACCACCACCAAUGGUGCAAUAUGAAAUGAGGUUAAUCCACAUAUGAAGUGUACACAUAUCACUAUUUUUUUUUAUAUCUUCAAAUAGCCUUGGUCUACUCAGUUAGGAGAUAUUAUCCAAGCCUUUAUCAUUUAUGGCACUAUUUCUAUGUCUUUUAACAGUGCAUCUUCAAAACCAUAUGCAUAAUUAAUAUGGUUCAUUAUAUUGCUUUAACUAUCAUAAUCAAGAGAGUUGCAUGUGCAAGCAUAAAAUUUGGUUGAAAACCUAACAACAUUUUUCAAUAAUAUUCCUUUUAGUACGAUAUGGGAGAGUGGGAGUAGUUGAAACAUGGUGGGGAUGAAGAGGAUGCAAGAGACAAUAAGGUGUGGAAGGUUUACUAUUAAAUCCACUAGAUUUGCAAUAUUGCUUAAAAAGAUAAUGUGGUGAUUUGUUCCUUCGUGAACCAUCUAUUACGGUGGUUCACGAUAAAUAUUAUUUUAAGUUUUAUGUAUUCGAUUUCAAAAUAUUUGUAAACAAUAUUUUCUUUUGAGAAAAAUUUUUAAACUAUAAUUUAAUAUCUCUUUAUGAGUGUUUUACUCAAUUUAUUUAUUUUUUCAUCUAAAUUGAUGGUUAGAAGUACAAGGAAGAUUCAUGAAUUAUUUAAAAGGACAUAAUAUAAAAUAUAUAGAUGAAUAAUGUUUGAGAAUAGAAAAGCCUUACUAUGAUUGAAACAAAGAAAACUAGAAUAAUAUAUAUAUAAAAAAAAAAAACUAAAAAAAUUAUAUAAUUGAAGUAGGCGUGACAAUAGACUCAACAUGAUAAGUUAAUUCAUGGUUUUAGAUAGGAAGAAUUAAAAUUUUAAAUUUAUUAUUUUGUUUAAGUUAACUCAGCUUUUUUAUUAGUUAAAAAUUAAGUCAAAAAAGAUUUCAAUGUCGGAUUAAAUUGUUUUCUUAGGCUCAAGGUUGGAUUAGUCAAAAAAUUAUUUUCAAUUAUUUUUCUAUUACAAUCAUUCUAUCAUUAAAGAUAUUUAAUUUUUAUAUUGACUGUGCAUAUGAUUAAACUCUUUUAAUAUUUUUCUUGUUAUUAUUUGAGAAUUUAUUCUUGUAAAGACAUAUAGUAAUACUAGUUCAAUAUUAAAAAAAAACAAUUUUUUUUUAUGGUUUGAUAGUCUAUCCUCUAAAAAUCAAUAUUUUUUUUUUUUUUUUAUAUACUUAUUGUAUUUCUUACCAACUCGUCAACUUGUGGCUAAAAAAUUAUAUCUUAUAUCUCUAAAAUUAUAAUCCCAUCCAAUAUUUUAUACAAACCAUUAAUUUUACUUCUCUUUAAUUUUUUAAUUUUUAAAACUAGAUAUUAAGUUGAAUGUUUAGAAAAUUUGUGGAGCAAGAGAUGACAAAAUAGAUCAGUACACUUCAUUUAAUCCACCAAAAAGUAGAAUAAGACAAUUCGAUUUAAAUGAUUAAGUCGAAAAUACUACUUUAAUCUACCCCAUGACAAGUUGGCAUGCAGAUCUAUCAAAAAAACUAUUUUUUUAUUUAAUAUUUUACAAAAAAUAGACUAAAUUACAUUUGUAGUCCUUUAACUUAAUUUCAGGUAACGUUUUAGUCCUUUAUUUUUUUUUCCCGACUUGGUCCUUUAUUUUAAUUUUAAGUGACAAUUUGAUAUUUUAUGUUUUAAAAUUUCAACAAUGAUAUCCUUUUUUAUACAAAAAUUCAAAAAAAAAUUCAAUCAAAACUCAUAAAAUUAAUUAUAUUCUUCAAUAUAAUACAACUUUUAUCAAAUUCCUAACGCAAAUCUUCAAAUAAAUUCAUAUUUUCAUACUUUAUUUGAUAUUUUUAGGAAUAAAGGAUUAAAUCGGGAAAAAAAAUAAAAGACUAAAACGUUACCUGAAAUUAAGUUAAAGGACCACGAAUAUAAUUUAGCCUAAAAAAUAAUAAAAACAAUUAUAAUCGAACAACUAAAUUAACACGUUUGUAACGCGAAGUGUGUUCUUUUAAAAAAAAAUUAUUAUUAAUUUAUUCUUUUUAGACAAAUUUGUCACCUCCAAACUUGGGGACAACCGGUCCAUAAUCUCAUUAUUGGGUCCUUUGGUUGUGACAAUUUAUUUGUGAAAAAUGAAUUAGUCAAAUAUAGCUUUUAAUAUAUUAUAUUUUUUAAAAUUCAGUAUUUUUACUAUCAAAUAAUUCUAUUUUGUACAUUUUGCUCUCAUUUGAUUGUUUCAUUCAAUAUAUCUUCCAAUAUUAUGAAUUUCGAAUUGGAUUUUAAGUAAACCUAGCUAAUUUUGAAAAGUUUCUACAAAUAAAAGAGAUGGUCAUAUAUAAUUUAGUAAUAUGCAUUAGUGACCAGUUACUAUUUCUUACUUUAUCUUUAUCUGUUCUAAAAUAUAAAUAAAAAUUGUUUAAAGAAAGUUAAUAUAUUAUGUUCAAAAUUUAUAUUAAAUGUAUCAAUUUUUUAUUUAUUUUUCUUAUAUUUUGAGACGAAAGUAGUAUAUGUAUAGACAUGAAAAUCAAAUAGAUGCAAGAUAAUGAGAUACGUCUUUGUCUCAUAUUUAAUUCUCGGCAAUGUUAACCACUUAUGGAAAGAUAUGUUGGUAUUUAUUUUAAUAGUCAUGCUAACAAGUGUCAUAUAGAAAUUUGUUAAGAAAACAAAAAAGAAAAUAAAAAUAAAAGAUUUAAAUAAAAAUAUCACUUUUGAAUAUUUCAAGGAAUUGGAUGUACAAUUUUCUAUAAUAUAUUUCCUUUUGAAUUUAUUAACAAAUGUUGUUGGAAAGUUGUUAGCAUUUUUCUUAUCUUAAUAGUUGUGUUUACUUGAAUUUGGUGUUAGGGCACUCCACUCCUGUUUAGUAAAGAAAAUAAUAUUAAUUAUAAAAAAUAAAACUUCAAAAAGAUAUAAAAAUUCAAUAAGGAGAUGAGGUAAGAAGAAAUAUAGUAAGAAUAUUAUAUCUAAAAAAUUUAAAAUAAUAAUAAUAAUAAUAAUUGUAUUUAUAAAAUAUAUUUUCUCUGUCCUAAAUUAUAUCUUGCUUUGCAAAAAUAAAAUUGUUCUAAAUUGUAUAUCAUUUUACAUUAUUAAUGAAACAUUAAUUUUUCUUUUCCUAUCACAUCCUCUACUAUUUAUUACUCUCUCUUCUUUCAAUUAAUAAGGAAUGAUUUUAUAAAAUAAUAAUAUAACCUUCUUUUUAUAUAUAAAAUUAACUAUAAUAAUUUAGUUCAACAGACAAAUGUUGAUAUUGUAUUCUAUAUUUCAAAUACAAAUUUAAGACCACACAAUUAAAUACAAGUUUUUUUUUUUUUUUUUUAUCAUUUUAUCUACAGAAAAAAACUAUAUUUUUUAACUAGUGUGAAAUAGUCAAAAUAACAUAUAAUUUAAAAUGAAAUGAGUAUUUAUUAAAUGAAAAAAAUGCUAAGUAAUAAACAAAUUUAUCUCAUCAAAAUUAUUGGGGGCCAAGUCAGUGGCAUAGUUGCCUUGUAACACUAUAUAUCUCAAUUGAUAAAAGAGACUUAAAAAGCAAUUUCAAUUAUAGUGGUCCCACAAACCUAAGCCACAGCUCAUCAGAGAAAGAAAGGUCAACCUUUUGUAGUAUGCAUUCACAACUAAGACAUUUUUGGUUCAUGUUAAUAAUUAGGCAAUUGUCCUAACUUAGAAACAUUUAUAAAAAUGCCAAAUACUUAAGGCUAAAUAAUUCGAAACCACUUUGACUCUUUGUGUGGUUUUUAGGUAUGUUUGGUGGGUAACAGGCAGCUCCAUUAUUUGUUAAAUAAAUUAAUCCAAUUAAUAAAAUUAAUUAAAAUCAUAUUUUGUUCAUGAACAUAAUCUUGUUCUAAUUAUUUUUUAUUUUUAUUUUUACAAAGUUUAAGUUUCAUCUAUUUUGAAAUAAUAAAGUUUAAAUUUUGUCUAUUUUGAAAAUGUUAAACUUAGUCUGAUAUAUUAUCUAUUAUACUUCUAUUUUUAAAGUCUAAAUUGAUCGUUUUCAAAUAUCUAAAAAAAUCUGAAUAUUUGUUUAAAAACUUAAAUUUUAUUUUAUUUUUAUAAAAGUCACACCUACUCUAGUGGUAAUUAGUGUAAGUUUUUGUAAAUACAUUAAAAAAUUAAUGUCAAUAAAAUAAUUUUUUAAUAUCUAACACAAAUUUUUAAAUCUAUUAUUAAAUAAUAUUUUAUUUUAUUUAUUUUAUAAUAAUACUAUUAAAUAUAAAAAAAUUAAUAUAUGUUAACAUGUUUAAAUCACAUAAAAUAUUAAUAAAUUUAUGAUUUAAUAUAAAGUACAAUAUUUAAUAUUAUAAUAGAUAAUAACAUAAAAAUAUGUAUUUAUAUUUAAUGAAGUAGAUUGACAUAAUAAAUUCAAAUAGAUUAAAAAAAAUUUUUUUGGCUUGAUCUGUGUAAAAAACAAUUUCUUCUCUCUUCUUUAUGUUUUCAAAUAAAUAUACAUUAAGAUCGAUUCAAAUGUGUAUUUUAACAAAAAAAAAAAAAACAUCUAAAUUAAUUAAUCUAAUUGAGUGCUUUUGAUAAUAUUAUUAAAAGAGGAGAAGAAACACACCUAUAGUGAUAUAUUAUAUGCCAUAUGAAUAUGCCUCAUGUUAUCAUUUCUUUGUCGCUUCAUGAAGUGAAACGAUUGUUUGACCCUGAAAAUUAUAAAUCAAACUGAUUGUAACAUUUAACAAAUUUUAAGGCAUCUUAGUCCUUAAUUCAUUAUAUAUGCUAUAAUGCUAUAUUUUGACCUGCAACAGGCUCAAGUACAGACCAAUAUUUCUUUUAUUUUAUCAAAAUCAUGUUCAGUACUAAACUAAUAGUAACAUGGACAGGCCUGAAAAUUUUAUAUCAUAACGACAAAAAUUCAUAUAUAAAAUUGUAACACUUAUAACUAACACAUUUGAUUUAAACGAUUUAAAUGGUUAACGAGUUAAUUAAAGAUAAAUUAUUUGAUAGAAUUUAAAUUUAAAUUAAAAUAACUUUUAAUUAAUUUUUUUUUAUUUUAAAAAAAUUGUAAUACUUUUUUUAGUAAUAUAAAUUUAUAACACCAAAAGCAUAUAUAACAUUAUAUUUAAAAGUUUAAGUUUUUGAUUACAGAAAUAUUAACUUUUUAAUAUAUCAACAGAUAUAAUUCUUUAAAAGAAUUAUAAUAAUUCUCAAUCCAAAGCUUAUAAAUUAUAUGUAUAUAUUUUUAAAUAUAUAUAUAUAUAUAUAUAUAUAUUAAAUAUAUACUAAAGAUUUCUUAGUAUUCUCCAAAGGUGUAUUUUGUAGAAAUUCAAUUUUAUUGGUUCCACUCAAAAUGGUGUAUUUGCCGACUAAACUACGCCAUUUGUUGAAUACCAAUUCAUUUUAAAAAGAGUUAAAACUCAAUCUAUUAUGCAUGUUUAAUAUUAUUUUUAAUUUUUGAUGAUAUAUUUUAUUGAUUUAAAUAUAUGUUUGGUUCUAUAAAUUAAUUUUUUAUUUUAUUUUAUUUUUGUCUUUAUAAUUCUUUUAAUUUUAAAUUUAAGUAUAUAGUUUUGUUUUAAAAUCAUCUCUGCUGUCAAUAAUUGUUAAAAAAAAUUGUUGAGAUAACAAACAGAGAGAAAAAAAAAAAUAAAGUGAAUUUACAGAAAUAAAAAUCAAACAAAAAACAUAUAUGUUUCGUUAUUAUAAGUUUGUAUAUUUUUUAUUUUUCGUAAAUUCACAUUUUUUUUUAUAUUCAUCUUUUAUUUAUUUGACAUUUCAAUUUUUUUUACCAAUCACUAAUAGUAAGACGAUUUUAAAAGAAAUUAAAUUUACAUAAUUAAAUUUUAAAACAAAAAAUUUAAAAGAAAAAAAAUGCUAACUUACAUUACAAAACAUAUAUUUAAAUCAAAUUAUAUAUAGUCUAAGUUUUUUUUAAAGAAGUUAUUGCACUCAAUUGAUAUUUUCUCAUAAAGAUUAUAUGAUUGGUUCUAACGCAGUAUAGUAAACAACGACCCUUUAAAAUUAUUAAAAAAAGACCUUGAAAUGUCUGGUUUAUGCUUUAUAUAAUAUUACUCAUGUCUUUUUUAUACAAAACUCAUUUGAUCAAUUUGAAAAAAAAAAAAAAUAGUUUUCAUAUAUGAUGUGUUGUAUAUUUUCUUUUUAAAUUUAUUCAAUUAACACGAGACAUAAGUAAAUAAUCUUAAUAAUAUUUUUAUUUAAUUAAAGAUAUUUUUGUAAAAAAUUAAUGGACUUUAUAAUUUGUAAAAAGUUUUUAGUAAGAGACAGAAAUAUUUUACAAAAAGAGUAUUAUGUAUAGGGACAAAUGUAGCAAUUUACGAUUGCUGCCCUAUUAAGUUUUUAUAGUCUUGUAUAUAAAGACAAAAGGGUUUUAUUAUUAUUUUUGGGGUACAAUUUUCCAGCUAAAUUUUAUCAUAGUUCUAUUUGUUAUUCAAAUUUGAAAAUGAUACAAAGAUCGAUAAAGACAUUUAAUCACUUUUUUCUUUUUACUCAACAUUAAAUUAUAAAAAAAUGUAUAUGUAGUUACCUAAACACUUUGGCUAAGUAAUACAACAUGGAAAACACUUGGUCGACAUCUAUAUAUCCAAUUGAUUAUUUGAGGGAGAGAAAAAUAAAUAUAGUAAUAUAAUAUAUUGAUGAUAUUAUAAGAAAAGAGGAAUACAAAUAAAAUAAAAUAUUAAAUAAAGGUAUAAAAAUUAAGAGCGUAAGUGUAUACAUAUCACUACUCGUACAAUAUUAUAGUUUAAACUAAUAAAAUACACAUGAGAAAUAAAUAGGUACGUGAAUAAUCAUAUUCUCUCCAAAUGUGUUUUUAUAAUCCAAUGAAAGUUUUAUUUAUAUGACACAUAUAGGUAUGCGAAUAAUUAUAUUUAAAGACUAAUUCUUGAAUGAAUAUUUGAUGAAGAUUGAAUAAAAGUGUUUAUCUCUAAAGGAAGAAACAAAUCAAUAUUUAAAGAGAUAUGGUUAUGUAAGAAACUAUUAUGCAACACAAUAUAAAUAAAUGAUUUGUAACUGGUAAGAUUUAAUUAUGUAGGUCUUAUGAAUCAAUUCACAUGUAUAUGAGUUGAUUCAUAAGUUUGGCAACAUCUAAAAUUUUAAUCUUGAUCCGUAUCAAACCAUUCAUGAUCUUUUUGAGUCAACUUAUCUACUUUCAAGAUGUUUAGUGAAACGAUUCACACAUCUAGUGAAUCAAUUCAUCUAUAAAAAAUUCUUUGUAUUUAUUUUAUUAGAACCUUUCUAAGUUGAUUAUUCAUAUGAACAUGAGUCAAUUUAUGGAGUUAAAAAUUACUUUGGAAAGAGUUUUAAUGCAUUGUACGAGUUUCAAACAUGUUUAAACAUGCACCUAAAGGUCUGCAAUAAAAUGAGGUUAUGAAAAUUAUUUUUCUUACUCAAAAACAUUUGUCAAUAUUAAAAAUUGAAAAAUCAAUAAAGACACACAAAACCAUCUAGUUAGAAUUAACCUAGUUUUAACAUACAUCAAAACACUAAGUUUUUCCUAGUGAAACUUGCAUUCACAUACUCCUCCUUUAUCAUGAUGGCUAAACAUGCAAAACUUUGAUGAUGAACAUCAUUUAAUAUAUCAUUGAAUCGAAAAUGCUCCCCAUGAACAAGGGCUUUUAGGGUGUAUAUGCACGACUUUGAAAAACAUGAAAUUUGCUUCUACAAAUUAUGCAAUAUUUUUCUCUCCAUUUAUCAUUACAAAAAAGAAGACAAAAAUCAUAAAAUUAACAAUAUCGAACAAUUUUCAUGCAAAAAAAAAAAACAGCCAAAUGCCUAGAUAAUGCACGCAUAUAAUCCGUAACUACUCAAACAAUAAAUCGCAACUCAUAAAACAUAGAAAAUAUCAUCAAAUUACGAAGUAAAAAAGGCAAAGAACAAUUUUGUGAAUUUAUUUUGAAUGAUAUUUUGUAUCCAUAUUUACAACAAUAUAAAAUUUUCCUCCAUAUAAAAUGCACUAAAAAUUCAUUUUCUAACACCAUAUUUUAAAGAGUUUUAUCUUGAGCAUAUAAUAUUUUAAAAAAUCAUAUUUAAUUCAUUCCAAGUUAAAAAACUAUGAUUUUAUGUGGAUGAGCUUUAAAUAGUAUUUCAAACAUUUUUGUAAAAUAUCAUUAAAAAAUUUAAAAGUUGAAAGAUGUUUUGUUCCACCAAUGAUUAAAAUAGUUUGUACAAUAAUUUUGUACAAUAAUUUUGUAGGGACUAAAAAAUAUGUUUUUUACAGGACUAAAAAAAAUUUCAAAAUUUUAUAGGGACUAAAAAGUUAUUUAACUCUAUUAUAAAUGUGGUUUGAUUUGGUAUGAUUUUGAAAAAGAAAUCUGAAAUUCAAUAUGUGUGGUUUUCACAAAAGAAUAUAUAAAGACAUUCAAUUAUAUUUUGUUUUGUGCAAUAUUCGAUUUUUGGGGAUCAAUUUGCAAUUUUUACUUAGAUCGAUUUAAAUCCUUACUGUCUAAAGCAUUUACUUAAAAGGUUUCAUGCCAUUCUAUAUGUAAUUGUAAGUUCUCUAUGAUAAACUUAGUAUUUUGAUUGAUAUCAAAAUUAGGUUUGUCUAGUAAGAUGGUAUAUGUAUACCUUUUUUAUUUUCUAUUUCUCAAACAUUCACAAAUUCAUUUGAAUUGGACAAGUAACAUGAUACUCAUAGUUUGUCAUGCAUAACUUAGUUACAUGAUAUAAACAUGUUAGCAUAGAUUAAAUUGCAUUAAAAAUAUUUUUUAUGUGAUUUUAUUUAUUGGUAAAUAACCUCAUAAGUUUGUAAAUCUACUUAUAGAGGUCUUGAACUAAUUCUUAAUGUUCUAAAUCUUGUGAAUCAACUUAUCAAAUAUGAAAAUCGACUCACACUAUUCCAAAAGAUUUUAUGAGUCAAAUCACACACUUAUGAAACAGUUCACACUAUUUUAGGAUGAAAUUCAAGACUUUUAAGAACCAUGUGAAUUGAUUACCUGACCCUGCAAUUUGAUUCACAUGACAUGCAUAGUUAGUUUUGACAGUUACAAAAUAGUUAUUUCAAAUAUGAUGCAUUGAUUAUUGGCCAACUAUCUAACAUCUCUUUAUAGACUAAUCUAAUUCUUCAUUGAAGCUAAGAACACCCUCACCUAUUUCUAGAUUAAACAUUUUUGCAAAUUUAAGACUUGUUUGUGAGUGAAUUUUUUAGUGAUAAACAUCAAGAGAAGUGAUAUCUCAUGUUAGGUGAUUUUUCAGAUGUCGACGUCUAAGGGAUUUCAAUUGGCGUCAUGUUGAAGAAUUGAAGAGAGAAUUUAUUCAUGCUCCAGAGUUGCCUUUACUCCGAGCUUUAUCUUGAAAGAUUUGAGGGGUUAUUUUCAUUUUAAAGAUAGUGGUUUAGGUUAUUCUUGAAAUGUGGAAAUCUAGUUCAAAGGGUUUAGAGAAGAAAGGGUUGUGGUACAAGUAUUGUAACAAUUGCUAACAAUUUUUGUAAAUGUUUUAGUAAAUAAAAAAAGAAACUCUCAUUCAUUUAAAUAAGGAUUGAAUCUACUUUCCAUGCAAUGAUGAAGUAGAGGAACCAAUAUAAAAGUCGCUGAGUGUUUUCUCUUACUCUUAACUUUUUACAUUAUGCAUUUUUUGGUCAUUAUAGUUUUCGUAUCUUGGUGGUUGGCAGCGUAAAAUAUAUUUCCUUAUUUUUGAAUGAUAUAAAGAUUAGUAACAUUGAAAUUUUUGUUUGUAUAUAUUUUCAUAUUUUGAAUUGUUGAAUUAGAAAUUGUUGUGAAAUAACUUCAAAAUUUGCAAAUUGUAUCCAAAGUUGAAUUUUGUGUUUACUUAACAUUAAUAAUUUAUGCAUCAAAUCAAACAAUAACUCUAUUUUUACGACGUUUCCAAAAAAGUUCGCUGCUUGAUUGAAAAAUCUAUGAAAAGUGGAGAUUCUGUCCAACCCUUCUCUAGAGUAUAAAGGUGAGAAAAAUACAAGAAAAUGAGAUUUAAAUUGUGUUAAAUUUUUUUCUUUAAAAUAAAUUGUUAUAAAAUAUUUUUGAAAAAUAAACUUUUAAGAUAAAGAGAUAAGGAAUAGAGUAAAGACACAAGACAAUUAUCCUAAUACAACACCAAAGUGUAGCUAUGUCCAAUCUCUUCAACUUGAUGGAUUUUCUACAAAAAUCAAACUAAUUUUUCUUUCAACCACUAGAACAUACUAUUGUCAACUUGACUAUACACUAGUAUUCUCAAACUUCAAACUUAAUACAAUCAUGCUUUUGAGAAAACAACUACUAUUACGUCAAAUUACAAUGAAAAUAAAGUUCUAUAAAAUACCCGAUAACUCUUUAAUUGAAGAUAGAAGUUUAAGCUCAAAUUGGUGAUAAAAUUUCAUUAGAUAUUAUUUUGAAUAUAAGAUCACUUGAGUAAAUUAAAAUUAUCUCUCGGUUUCUUUAGUAGCGUGUUUGUUCAAUGAUAUUCUCUUAUGCAUUUGGGCGUAAGUAUUACUUAUAGUGAGAUUUGAAAGAGUCACACCCUAUGUCCUUAAAAGAUGUAUGAUUGUAAUAGAGGUCAUAAAUUUUUUUCUUUUAGGGUAAUGAUUUUUAUCCCACAUCACAACAUUUCUCUUUUCUAUUACCCCAAAUAAUCUAGAAAUUAAACUAUUAGACAAAAUAAAAUAAGUGACAAAAAUCAAUAAUUGAAAAUAAAAAAUAAAAAUUAUUUUUUACUUUUCUCAUUAUAAAAUACAGGGACAAAUUUAAAGAAGGAUUUCACAUUUUUUCUUCUCUAAAUUUUCUUCAUUAAUUUUUAGUUUUUUUAGUAGUAUAUUUUUGGAGUCGUAAAUGAAAUAAAUAAUUAUUGUCAAAAAAAUUAUAUAUAAUUAUGAAAUUUUAAUUUAAAAUUUAAAAUAUGAUAUUUAAACUAAAAAGUAAAGAUUUCAAAAAAUGUAUCUGUUCGACCAUUUUUUUAAAACUCGUUUUUGUAGCUAUUGAUAUUUUAUUAGCGACAUAUCAUGUCUUUACUUUAUUGACCUGCUCCAUAUGAACCUAAUCUAAGAUAUCGACUAGCUACAUGAAUACAUAUUAGUUAGUAUAUUAAGGAAACAAUGUUCUGUAUAGGUUUGAACUCACAAUACCUUAUUUUUUAACACUUAGUUUGUGUUGGUUUGCUACCAAAUUGUUUGUUAAAUAAACGUUGAUUUUUCCAUAUAUUCACAAUUUCACAUAUAUGAUACAUCUUGUUCUGCAAUAAGUGAACCAUUUUCAAAAAAGUAUUUGUCACAAAAUAAAUUAAUAUUUCAAUUUUCAAUAAACCAUUGAUUAUUUUAUCCAAUUACUCUAUAAUUAUUAUUACUUGCACCACUAAUCAAUCAAAAUUUAGCACUUUCAAUUUAUGACAAUGAUAAAUACAUUUGAUAUUGGUAAUUUAGCAAAUAUAUUGUUUUCUCUUUUUCAAUUUUUCAUUUUUCUUAAUUUGUGUCAAAUGUUCAAAUAGAUUAAUUAUUGUGACACGAAAGGAGUACUUGAUUAAUUUUUAUAAAAAUGAAAUUAGUAUUUUGAUCUUUAUAAUUGAUUUUUAUUAUAAUUUGAGUAUUGUAAGUGUUGAUUUUAUUGUAUUUUUACUCUACUACUUAAAAUAAGUGCUUUUGAGGUAAUGUAUGUACAUUUUUUGUUGGGUGGACUCACUCCCCAAGUGGAACCCAUUAGUUUUAUUAGUAUUAGUAUUAGUAUUAUUAUUAGUAUUAUUAUUAUUGAAAAAAAAGAAAGAAAAAAAAAAGGUUUAAAUAGGCUUGACCCACAUGAAGGAAAUAAAAAGGGAUUUAGAAAUCUCUAAGAAUUAGAACGAAAAAAAACGGCUGCCAAAAAAGAAAAAUAAGGGUUUGGUUCCGGUAGUGGUAACAAGUGUAGGAAACUUGUUCUGUUUGAUCUAUAAAUUUAGUAUGUUAUUCCUACCACUAAGUUUGUUAUUUUAAUAUACCGUUUGAGUAGUUUUAUCUUCUCUGUUACUUUGGCAUACCCACUUUAGUGGAAUGUUGUUAUAAGGUUGUUAUUGUUGAUUGAUGUUCCCUAUUGUUAUUAGGAUGACUUUGGUGUACCUAUUGAUCAGGCAGCGGUUGGAUAUGAGUGUAUAUCCACAUGUUGAAACUGGAAUAGAUGCUAACAAGAUGUUGGAAAAAUUAAAAGAGUUAUAUGAAUGAAAGAAUGUACAAAAUAAAGAAUUCUUGAUUCGGAAGCUGGUGAAUAUGAAAUACAAAGAUAAGGAUUCAAUGACAGAGCAUAUGAAUAUUUUUCAGAAUACAGUGAAUCAGUUGACAACUGCAGAAAUUAAAUUAGAUGAUGAGUUGCAAGUGUUGUUAUUGUUGAGUUCAUUGCCUGAUAAUUGGGAAGUUCUUGUUGUGAAGUUGACCAAUUUAGCUCCAAGUGGAAAGUUGAAAAUGUCAACAGUUAAAGAGAGCAUGUUGAAUGAAGAAGCUCGAAGAAAGGAACAUGGUUUGGUUGGUUCUUCCUAAAAGUCAGAAGCACUAGUUACAGAUUAACGGGGGAGAAGUCAAUCUAGAAACUUCUAUAGAAGCGACAACUCUGAAAGUCGUAGCAAGUCAAGAAGCAAGUUGAUGACUAGAAAAGAAGUGAUAUGCUAUCAUUGUGGCAAAGUGGGUCACAUAAAAGGAAAUUGCAAAGAGGGUCACGUAAAAGGAAAUUGCAGGUUCCUUAAGAGAUAUCAAUCAAAGGAAAGAGAUGAAGACAAAGAGAAGAAAAAUGAUAAAGAUACAACAACAAUUGCAUCUGUUAAUAAUGUCUACAUUGUUUUGUGAUGAUAAUUCCAUAAACCUUGCAUGUCAGGAUUCAACUUGGAUUAUUGAUUCGGGUGCCUCAUAUCAUGUUACUCCUAGGCGUGACUUCUUCUCAUCUUACAAUGCUGGUGAUUUUGGUUUGGUAAAAAUGGGAGAUGAAGGAGUAUGUAAAAUUAUCGGUAUGAGAGAUGUAUGGGUUGAAACUGGGAUUGGUUGCAAGCUUAAAUUGAAAAAUGUUAGACAUGUACCUAAUAUUCGUCUCAAUUUGAUUUUGGUGAAAGCCUUGGAUAUUGAGGGUUAUCACACUUACUUUGGUGGUGGUGGUAUAUGUGAAAUCACCAAGGAAGAAGUGAAUGCAAUUGAAGAUGCAUCUUCUGAUUUAUGGCAUAUGCGCCUCGGUCACUUGAGUGAGAAAUGACUUAACAUACUUGCGAAGAAAAAUUUUCUUCUUGUGAAAGGUACGUCUCUAAAAACUUGCACCCAUUGUUUUGCUAGAAAAUAACAUAGAGUUUCUUUUCAUAAUACUGGUCCUUAUAGGAGGCAAAAUAUUCUUGAUUUAGUUCAUACUGAUGUUUGUAUGAUGGAUAGUAAAUCUCUUGGUGGUGCAUCAUACUUUGUUACUUUUAUUGACGAUCACUCUAGAAAGGUGUGGGCCUUUCCUUUAAAAUAUAAAGGCUAGGUAUUUGGAGUCUUCAAGCAUUUUCAUACAAGUGUUGAAAGAGAAAAGGGAAGGAAAUUGAAAUGUUUUCGAUCAGAUAACGGUGGUGAUUACAAAGGUCCAUUUGAAGAGUAUUGUAGAGAACAUGGAAUCAGGUUCGAGAAAACAGUUCCAAAGACAACUCAACAUGAUGGUGUUGCAGAGAGAAUGAAUCUACGAUUAAUGACAGAAUCAGAUGUAUGAUCUCUCAUGCAAAAUUAUUGAAAUCCUUUUGGGGUGAAGCAAUGAAAACUGUAGUGAAUUUGAUCAAUCUUUCUCCUUCUAUUCCACUUGACGGUGAUGUUCCAAAUAGAGUGUGGACAGGGAAAAAUGUCUCUUUUACCGUCAUUUGAGUGUUUUUAGCUGCAGAUGUUUUGUUCACGUUCCAAGAGAUGAGAGGUCCAAGCUUGAUAGUAAAUCCAAACAGUGUAUAUUCGUCGGUUAUGGUGAUGAAGAAUUUGGUUAUAAAUUUUGGAUCCGGUUGACAAGAAAAUUACCAAAAGUCGAGAUGUGAUAUUUCUUAAAGACCCGACUAUUGAAGAUUUUGAUAAAGCUGAAAAAUAGAAACCAAAUUCCAGAAGUUACAUUGAUGUUGCACCUAAACCCCCUACAGAAACCUUUGUUGAUGGGAGAGAUAUACAGGUAGAUGAUGAGAAUGUAACUGAUGAUCAUGCACCUCACCCUGAUGAGCAGGUUCCAGUUGAACAACCAAACGAGUUUGAGUUGAGAAGAUCAACUAGAGAACCUCAACCUUCUCAAAGAUAUCCUCCAAAUGAGUAUGUGAUGAUCAAUGAUAAUGGAGAGCCAGAGUAUUAUCAAGAAGCUAUUACAAAUGUUGAUAAAGAAAAGUGGUUAAAGGCCAUGCAAGAAGAGAUGAAUUUCUUGCAUGAGAAUCACACAUUCGAUUUGGUAAAGUUGCCUAAUGGCAGAAAAUCACUCAAGAUCAAAUGGGUAUACAAGAUAAAGGCAGAAGAGAGUAGUUCUCAACCAAGAUACAAAGCAUGAUUGGUUGUGAAAGGUUUUAAUUAGAGAAAAGGCAUUGACUUUGAUGAAAUUUUUUCACCUGUGGUGAAGAUGUCCUCUAUCCGAGUUGUGCUUGGGUUAGCAGUUAGUUUGAACCUAGAAGUUGAACAACUUGAUGUGAAAACUGUAUUCCUUCACGGUGAUUUGGAGGAAGAGAUCUAUAUGGAGCAACCAAAGGGUUUCAAAGUCAAAGGUAAAGAGCAGCUUGUGUGCAAAUUAAAGGAAAACUUGUAUGGGCUCAAGCAAGCACCUCUACAAUGGUACAAGAAAUUCGAUUCUUUUAUAGAGAAACAUGGGUACGAUAAAACCACUUCUGACCAUUGUGUGUUUGUGAAGAAAUUCUCUGAUGGUGAUUAUAUUAUUCUCUUAUUAUAUGUGGAUGACAUGUUGAUUGUUGGUCAUGACACUAAGAAGAUUUAAUCUUUAAAGAAAGAUUUGAACAAGUUUUUGCAAUGAAAGACUUAGGUCCUGCAAAGCAAAUUCUGGGCAUGAGAAUUACUCGUGAUAUGAAGAAUAAUAAAUUGUGGUUGUCUCAACACAAUUACAUUGAGAAAGUUUUAGAGAGAUUCAACAUGAGCAGUUGCAAACCUGUUAGUACUCCACUUGCUACUCAUUUUAAAUUGAAUUAUGAUAAAUGUCUUACAAGUGAGAAAGACAAAGAAGAGAUGAAGAAGGUUCCUUAUGCAUCCGCAGUUGGUAGUUUGAUGUAUGCUAUGGUAUGCACAAGGCCAGAUAUUGCUCAUGCAGUUGGAGUUGUUAGUCGGUUUCUCUCUAGUCCUGAUAAAGUUCAUUGGCAAGCAGUGAAGUGGAUUCUUAGAUACCUCAGAGGCACUUCAAAAGUGUGAUUAUGCUAUGGAGGUAGUGAACCUGUGUUGGAUGGCUACACAGAUGCAUAUAUGGCAGGUGAUCUUGAUUCUAGAAAAUCUACUUCUAGUUAUAUGAUGACUUUUGCAGGGGGAGCUGUGUCUUGGCAAUCAAGACUACAAAAGUGUUUUGCUUUGUCCACUACUGAAGCUGAAUACAUUGCAGCAACUGAAGCUUCCAAAGAACUCUUGUGGAUGAAGAAAUUCCUACUGAGUUAGGCCUCAAGUAAGACAAGUUUGUGUUAUUAUGUGACAGUUAGAGUGCGAUCCAUCUUAGCAAGAAUCCGACUUUUCAUGCAAAGUUGAAGCAUAUUGAAGUGCGGUAUCAUUGGAUACGAGAUGCACUGGAAAUGAAGUCAUUUUUAAUUGAGAAGAUUCAUACUGAUGAGAAUGGUUUAGAUAUGAUCACGAAGACCUUACAUGUUUCGAAGAUGAUAUGCUGUAGAAAGAAAGCUGACAUGGUUGAGCAGUACCUUCCCACUUGAGUCGUGAUAGAAGGGAAAGUUGCUCACUACCACGCCACGGUGCUAGGGGACCAAUUUGGGGGCGACGUUGCAAGCAAAGAUUUUACCGGCUUUACUCGCGGUACCGGAAAACCACGUUGAAGCUAACGUUGAGGUAGGGGCUCCUUCCAAACUUCUAGUUUGCAUUAGGGACUUAGCUGUGGUUGUGUGGGAAGGAAAUUGUUAGGAUUUAAUGUAUCAAUUUGGGGAAAAACGAAUCUAGUGCGUUACGGGUAAAACCUUAGAGUUAGGUUUUGUUUAUAUUGAUGAAUGUUUCGACUGGAAAUGAAGUCAUUUUUAAUUGAGAAGAUUCAUACUGAUGAGAAUGGUUUAGAUAUGAUCACGAAGACCUUACAUGUUUCGAAGAUGAUAUGCUGUAGAAAGAAAGCUGACAUGGUUGAGCAGUACCUUCCCACUUGAGUCGUGAGGGGGAGAUUUGUUGGAUGGGCUCACUCCCCGAGUGAAACCCAAUAGUUUUAUUAGUAUUAAUAUUAUUAUUAGUAUUAUUAUUAAUGAAAAAAAAAAGAAAGAAAAAAAAAGUUUUAAUGGGCUUGGCCCACGUGAAGGAAAUAAAAAGGGAUUUAGAAAUCCCUAAGAAUUAGAACGAAAGAAAAUGGCUGCUAGAGAAGAAAAAUAAGGGUUUGAUUUUGGUGGUGGUAAAAGGUGUAGCAAACUUGUUCCGUUUGAUCUACAAAUUUAGUAUGUUAUUCCUACCACUGAGUUUGUUAUUUUAAUAUACAGUUUGAGUAAUUUUAUUUUCUCCGAGAGUUACUUUGCCCUACCCAAUUUAGUGGAAGGUUGUGAUAAGGUUGUUGUAAGACCCAUAAUUUUAAAAUACCAUUUAUGUAUUUUUGGUGUAUUUUGGAUUUUGGCUCGGAGGCUUUUAAGCCAAAGUUAAUAAUAUUUUGGAGUUUUAUAAUCAAAAAGAUAUUUCGAUGCCAAUUAAAAUUUCUCGUCGAUAAAUAAAUUGAAAUUAACUGCGGUGAAUCCUUUACGGAUAAUUUUAUGCGUUUCGGGCGAAACGGUAAUUUAACAAAUAUCUAGAUAUUUUGAGAUAUUUGUUAAGUUAUAUUUAUUAUCUAUAUAUGUUUGUUUGGAGGGAAAAAGAAAGGAAAACUAGAAGGAAAGAAAAGGAAAAGAAAAUAGUAUAAAAGGGAAAGAAGGAAAAAGGAAGAAAGGAAAAACAAAGGAAAGAAAAAGAAAGGAAAGAAAAUUGAAAAAUUCCAUCUUCUUCCUCUCAACCGUGACCCAUUUCUCCUCUUUCUCCCGUUUUCAUUUUCGACGCUUUCUUUUCUUCAAAACUNNNNNNNNNNNNNNNNNNNNNNNNNNNNNNNNNNNNNNNNNNNNNNNNNNNNNNNNNNNNNNNNNNNNNNNNNNNNNNNNNNNNNNNNNNNNNNNNNNNNNNNNNNNNNNNNNNNNNNNNNNNNNNNNNNNNNNNNNNNNNNNNNNNNNNNNNNNNNNNNNNNNNNNNNNNNNNNNNNNNNNNNNNNNNNNNNNNNNNNNNNNNNNNNNNNNNNNNNNNNNNNNNNNNNNNNNNNNNNNNNNNNNNNNNNNNNNNNNNNNNNNNNNNNNNNNNNNNNNNNNNNNNNNNNNNNNNNNNNNNNNNNNNNNNNNNNNNNNNNNNNNNNNNNNNNNNNNNNNNNNNNNNNNNNNNNNNNNNNNNNNNNNNNNNNNNNNNNNNNNNNNNNNNNNNNNNNNNNNNNNNNNNNNNNNNNNNNNNNNNNNNNNNNNNNNNNNNNNNNNNNNNNNNNNNNNNNNNNNNNNNNNNNNNNNNNNNNNNNNNNNNNNNNNNNNNNNNNNNNNNNNNNNNNNNNNNNNNNNNNNNNNNNNNNNNNNNNNNNNNNNNNNNNNNNNNNNNNNNNNNNNNNNNNNNNNNNNNNNNNNNNNNNNNNNNNNNNNNNNNNNNNNNNNNNNNNNNNNNNNNNNNNNNNNNNNNNNNNNNNNNNNNNNNNNNNNNNNNNNNNNNNNNNNNNNNNNNNNNNNNNNNNNNNNNNNNNNNNNNNNNNNNNNNNNNNNNNNNNNNNNNNNNNNNNNNNNNNNNNNNNNNNNNNNNNNNNNNNNNNNNNNNNNNNNNNNNNNNNNNNNNNNNNNNNNNNNNNNNNNNNNNNNNNNNNNNNNNNNNNNNNNNNNNNNNNNNNNNNNNNNNNNNNNNNNNNNNNNNNNNNNNNNNNNNNNNNNNNNNNNNNNNNNNNNNNNNNNNNNNNNNNNNNNNNNNNNNNNNNNNNNNNNNNNNNNNNNNNNNNNNNNNNNNNNNNNNNNNNNNNNNNNNNNNNNNNNNNNNNNNNNNNNNNNNNNNNNNNNNNNNNNNNNNNNNNNNNNNNNNNNNNNNNNNNNNNNNNNNNNNNNNNNNNUUAUGAAUUUUUGAAAGAAUACACAGGUAAAUCGAUUUCUCCAAUCGAUUGGAUGGUAAACAGGGACUUGGCCAAAUUGACAAAAUCGAUUAGCCAAUCGAUUUUGUAAUCAGUUUUCGAAAAUCAUUUAUGAAAUCGAUUGCCCAAUCGAUUGGGCCUUAAAUCAGGGACUCAUCCAUAUGCGACCAAAUCGAUGUGGACAUUGAUUGGCUUAAAAACUUGGGGCUCAAUACUCACUCAAUCGAUUUCCCAAUCGAUUGAAUCAAGCCAGAGUUCAAAAUUUCACUAAAAACCUUUAGGAAAUCGAUUUGGAAAUCGAUUGGCAUUAAGUCAGGGGCUCAGUCAUCCUGUCAAUCGAUUGCCUAAUCGAUUGAAUUAAGCCCAGGAUUCUGUCUUCAUCAAAAUCCUUCACCCCAAUCGAUUGCCUAAUCGAUUGGCUCAGUGAAAAUCCUCAGUUUUAGUUGUAUGAUUGUUUGCUCAUGAAACUAUCCAUGUCUUGAUUUGUUAUGUUAUAAUUAGGGGAUUGAGAACCUCAUUUUACUUUCAUUUUUAAUUGGCAAAGUAUUGUAUGAACUUUUCGCAUAUUGAAAAUCCUGUUAAGGUGCAUGCUUAGUUGAAAAGUUAUUUUGAGCAUUUAAAAACUUAAUUGCUAUGUGUUAACUGUUAUUUUUUUGGUUGGUGACCCUUUACAAUUAUUGUGGAAAUCUGGGCUUUGCCCUCAGAUGAGAGUCAGGACGGCCCUACCGGUUCGUACCCUACGGACGGGAAUGGAGAUGGGAACGCUUGACCGCAGUUACGUUAGGAGGAUCUCAUGGGGCGCGUGGAGAUCACUCAGGGUGUAUAGCUUUUUAGUAGGAUGAUCAGAUUAGGAUGAUGUAUAGGGACUAGGUGUCCUUCUUUUUGGAUUGGAGUAUUUUUAGCUUGGAAAACUGUACUCAUACUAAUAUUGUCAGUUUGACUUCUUUUUUUGAAUGGGUUCCAUGUACCAUUUGUUGUUGUGUAAAUGUUUUGGAUUUAUAAUUGGAGAAAAUUUUCCGCUGCUUGUAAAUAAUAAUGACUCAAUUAUUUAUCCAAAGGCAUCUCCUUAUUUAUUUCUCUGUUUUAGUUUAAUCUCUUUCGAAAAAAAAAUAUACCCUCGCUUUGAAAAACGGGGUGUUACAGUUGUUAUUGUUGAUUGAUGUUCCUUAUUGUUAUCAGGAAGACUUUGGUGUAUCCGUUAAUUAUUAUAGUGGAAGUUUUUACUAGACUAUGUCCCGUGGUUUUUAUUCUUUCAAUUUGAUGGAAGUUUUCCACGUUAAAAAUUGUGUUUGUCUCAUAUUUAAUUUUUUGCCAAUUAUUUUUGUUCUGUGGAAUUGUAUUUUCUGUUUGACCAUUUAUCUACAUUGGUGGGGAAAAAAAUAUUUCGCAUUAUUGAGAUAAUUAUCGCUAAUUAUCUCUAGUUUUUGCCAACAUUUAUUGGUAUGGGUUUUUUACUCUAAGUGAACAAUUGAUUAAAUUGUGAUUUUUGGAAAUUAUAAGAAUUAAAAUACGUUAAGAUAUACUCAUAAGAUAAUAUCAUUGAUUGAGUUGAUUUUUUAUAUUAUUUAUAUUUAUGCGUUACUAUAAUUGUAUUGAGCAGAAAAUAAAUAUGUUCAGGGAAUUGAUGUAAAUGGUGUUAGCAACGAUAUUAUUAAAAAAACAUGUCAAUCCUAUGAAUUAUGAAUAUGUGAGUGUGUGGUUUCAUUGGUGUAUAUGAAAUUGUCAAAUAUUUGACUUACGCUUAUGAUGUAUUGGAACCAAAUUGAUUUUAUAUUAAAAGUUUUUAUGAUAACAAAAACAUUUUAUGAAAUUAAUAUAUUUGACUUCAAAGAGUGUGAAAGAAGAUAUGAUCAAGAUUUGAAGAAGAUUUGAUCAAGAUUUAUCUACAACAAAAUACAAACAUAAUCAAUUUGGAGAAUUUACAAAUGCAAUCUGAACAAAAUAGGAACAUAAUCAAUCUGAAGAAUUUACAAUCUCAAUCUAAACAAUAUAGAAACAUAAUCAAUCUAAAUAAUUUACAAACACAAUCUGAACAAAAUACAAUUCAGAAUUAAACAAAGACUAAAUUCAAGGUAAGAGUAGUCUUAGAGUUCAAAGAGAGAAACACUUGUUCGAAUGAGAAAUAUUCUCUAAGUGUUUUUUCUUAGAGUGUGAGAGUUAUUAUUAUUAUUAUCAUCUUUGUUAGAAGCAAACACUUAAAGUUCCAAUCAUUUGUAUUCAACCCGAUAGUGGUUUAGUUCCUUCUUCAAUCUGGGGUUGUCAGGUUGUUUGGAAAAAAACUUGACUUGUAGAGUCAAGGUGGUCAGUUCUUCAAAAGUUUGAGGUUGUUAGGCUGUUUGGGAAGACUGGGUUGGAGGGCCAGGUCCUUUGUAAUUCAAGGUAAUUGAACUAGUGAAUUAAAAUCUUCUGAAUGAGGGGACUGAAUCUAGGCAAGUUGGUGGUGAACUAGGAUAAAUUUAUGUGUCAAAUUAUUUAUGCUUUCAUUGUUUACUACCUAUGAAUCUGAUUACUUCUACUCUAAGUAAGUCAACAAAAUCGACUUGUUUUUUGUUGUUGUUGUAAUAUAUCAAAAUGCUUUCAAGUUUGUCAAACACAAUUCAAACCCCCUUCUCGUGUUUGCACCUUCAAUUGACAUAAGACCUCGAUCUCAAGGCUGAGCACUUUACAAUGUUUGAGAAAAGAUCAAAGGAUUCGAGAUGUCUGGAUUAAGUGAAGAAGUUGAUGGAUGAAACAUCAACAUACCACCUAUGUUUGAUGUAGUACGUUUUGACUACUAGAAGGACAAACUGAGAAGUUUCUAUAUUUCACAAGAUCCUGAACUUCGGGAUUUGGUGGGAAAUAGUUAUAUUGCUCCGAAUAAUACUGAUGGUAUUGAAAUUCCAAGAAAGGAGAUGAAUGUUGAUCAGAAGAAGAUGUACAAGAUGCAUCAUAUGUCCAAAAUAUUCAUGAUAAAUGAAAUCACCUUCAAGGAGUUUGACAAGUGCACUAACAAGGAGACAACAAAGAUUAUUUAUGAUAUGAAGGAAACAAGCAAGUUCAAGAAGCAAACACCAACCUCCUAGUCAACAAGUAUGAGUUGUUCAAGAUGGAAGAAGAUGAAGACAUUGAAACAAUUUUUUCCAGAUUACAAACUCUGGUACCAUGAUUUAAGGUACUUGAAAAAAAGUUAUACUACUGCUGAUGAUAUGAAAAAGAUACUAAGGAGUCUGAAAAGCAAGUAGAGACCUAAGAUCAUUGUCAUUCAAGAAGAAAAGGAUCUGGAUACUCUUAAGCUGGAAUAAUUAAUCAGCUAUUUCAGAUCACAUGAAAUUGAGCUUGCAGAGGAUGAGCCCAAGAAGAAGCAACUAACCCGGGAUUUGAAAUCCAAAUAGAAGAAACUUCUGAAGGCAACAAAAAAAAUCAGAGGAUGAUGAUUCAUAUGAUCAAAAUGGAGACUUAAAGGAAGAGGAAUUGGCGUUUAUAUGCAAAAAAGUUUUAAAGAUGUGGCACAACAAAAAGAAUAUAUUCUAGGCAAUCCAACAAAGGAAAUGAUGAUAAAUAUGAAAAGAAAACCAUCAUCUGCUAUGAAUGCAAAGAACCUGGACAUAUCAGGUCAGAAUGUCCAAAUAUGAAAAAAGGGAAAAUUAGAGGAAAUAUUCUAGACUGAAGAAGAAAAGUAUGAAGGCUACAUGGGAUGAUUAUGGUGAAUCCUCUAAUGAUGAAUAACACACAGAUUUGGCUCUGAUGGUUCAUACCAACUCUGCAUCUUGAUCCAACACAAAUUGUGACUCUGGAAGUGAAUCAACAUAUGAAGAAAUUGAGGUAUUUUCUAACUUUACUCGAUCUGAUUUAGUUAUUACUAUAAAUGAUUUUUUAAAUAAGAAUCACAAAUUGUCUUUACAACUGAAAAAACACUUAGGAAAGAAAAUACAAAUCUAACUGAAAAAGUUAAUGUUUUAAAGAAUCAAAAUGCUGAAUUUAAAAUGGAAAAUGCAAUUCUGAAAACAGAUUUUACUAAACUUAAGACAGAUAAUGCAACUCUAAAAACUGAUAUUACUGAACUUAAAACAGAAAAUGAAAAUAUGAAAACUGAUAUUGCUUAACUUAAGACUGAAAAUCUAACUCUGAAAAGUAAUUAUAGUUCAACAUCAAUUGAAAAUACCACAUGUAACUCUGAUAAGUAUGAAAAAUUACUUCAAGAUUUUAUUGAUAAUGGUAUGGAAAUAAGCAAGUAUGCUUCUAUUAUUUAUGGUGUUUAGGAAUGGUAAAAGAGGAAUAGGAUUUUAAGAAAAAGUAAAUGAACCUAAGUUUGUUCCCUAUGAUGAUUUAUGUAUUAUUUACUAUAAGAAAGGUCACACUACAAUAUCUUGUAACCCCAAAAAUAAAAAUUAUUUUUAUUUCCUUAUUUUCUAAACAAUGAAAUUAUUUCGAAACAAAUAAAUAAAUAUCAAUUUUCAAACAUUUUUUUUUGUAAAAAGUAUCCCAUAAUCACGAACACGUCGAAUAAAUUUCAAGGUUCCAUCAAACUUAACAACUUGAAAUCACAAUAUCAGACAACAGAAUCCCUUUUGAGGUACACAUACUUAUGUUUUAAAUUAAGUGCAAAUAUAGUCCCAACCCGAUGUCACUAUCAGAGCGGGAAUUCCCAAAAUAGAAAAAAUGCUCAAAAUAACAUCAACACAAUGCAUAUAAUAAGAGUCUCCAAGAUAUGAUGGCUUCCGCCUCUCCAAUGGUACUAGACAUCACCUGCAACUUACAAUUCGUUUGCGUCCGUCGCAAACACCAAACACAAACAACGAGGGGUGAGUUUUGAAAUUAUGUCACAGUAUAAAAUACACGAGGAGAACAUGCAAGCAAUCAAAUUAUCACAAACUCAUAAGCAUUCAAGUGUAUAAUAUCGACGGUUCAUCAAAUUCAAUCACAAUAAGACAGUCGCAAGGAUGAAAUGCUAUGCAUGUCCUAUACUCUAUACUUCAUCAUUUGGUACCAUUCUACUCUGAAGUACUUGGUUAGGAGGCCUGAUACUAUGCCACUACAAGAGUGGACGAACAAUUCAUAAAUGGAUGAGUCCUCAUAGAUCCCCUCAACUCAACCCGAGACACAUAUACGCGACAGUCGGGGUACUCUUGUGUUGCACGGUAGUUCCCGGCCUUAGGGAAUAACCCACUAAUCCACUUAGGAAUUCCCCACUAGACCCCCAAGGUCUAUCAGUCUUACCUUACAGUUCGACUGUAGCCCUCCACGAUCAGGCUCAUUCAGUUGUACUUCCCUGAAUCACUAGGUCUGUCAGACCCUCCCUAUAUGAUGACAAAAUAAUCCUAACUCCAAAAUCUACAACACAUAUCUCAUACUUACUCGAUCAUCACAAUUCAAUAAGUUUUGGUUUGACUUCACAAUAUUCAUCAUUAUAUAUAGUUAUAUCAGUCAAUCACAUAAAAUCCCAAUAUUUGAUUUACACUACUCACAAUACACAGUCCAGUCUCAUUAAUCACAUAAUAAGGAAUCAAUUUAGUGCACUUUCAAGUAAUAUCAUAAUUUCAAUCAAGUAGACAAGAACACUCAAAUACAUAUCAUUCAUACAAUAACAAUUUGUAUAUGUUUCAUAAAAUCAAAUAACACGCAAUCUUAAUACAAAUUAAUUCACACAAUUCUAUAGGUUUCUAAAUUAUAUUUAAGUCCUCACUAUUACCAUUCAUAUAUUAUUAAUUAAUUAUUAUUACUCAAUAGGGCUCAACCGUACGUAGUAAGCCCCAAAUGAACAUCUGGAAAUUUCAGUAUUCCCGUUCAUCUCACGUUAUUUUAUACUCAUAAAAUCGAACAUCAUCUCACCCCUUACCUCGACUGAAGAUUUCGUCCAAUGAAUCUGAUAUGCUAACGGUUCCUCUUUUUGUCGGUCGUCGUCUCUAAUAAUCCGCGAGAGAGUUAUAGCCACACAACCACCAAAUACAAAUAAUUACUUACUAUAAAUAAAUGAAUAAAUAAAUGAAUAAAUAAUUAAAUAAAUAAAUAAAUAAGUAAAUAAGUAAAUAAUAAAAUAAAUAAAUAAAUAAUCUAAAUAAAUAAAUAAUUUACCUAAAUAAAUAAAUAAUCUAAAUAAAUAAAUAAUUAAAUGAGUAAAUAAAUAAAUAAUUAAAUAAAUAAAUAAAUACAUAAUUAAAUAAAUAAAUUAUCUAAAUAAAUAAUUAAAUAAAUUAUCUAAAUAAAUAAAUAAUUAAAUAAAUAAAUAAAUUAACUAAAUAAAUCAAUUAAUAAAUAAUCUAAAUAAAUAAUUAAAUAAGUAAAUAAAUAAAUUAUCUAAAUAAAUAACUAAAUAAUUAAAUUAAUUAAUAAAUAAAUUAUGUACUAUUUGUACUAAAACCCAAAAAUAUAUUAUAGUGGAGAACCUAAAAAAUUGAGUAACAUUUUUAAUUUAAAGGACUAAGUUGUCAUUUUAUAAAUCUAAGAAACCAGAUUCUCUUAAUAUUACAAUUUCAAUAAACCAAAAUUUUUUCAAACAACUUAUAUGCAUAGCUUGAUUUUAUAACGAAAGGAUAAAAAGUUUACGAUGGAAAGAUGAAAUUUUAGACUUCAAAUGCAACAAUGGGUUCGUAAAUUGGACUAACGAAAACAAGAAUGAGUUUGGAACCUGCGAGCUUGGUGAUGGAAGCGUACAAGGAAGAAUGCCAAGAAUACAUGACAUAGCCGGCAAGUUCGCCAUCAACGUGAAGAUAAAGCAAUCCACUGGUCUUCUUUUUGAGUUCGUUGUGAAAAAAAGGGAGCGAGCAAUUCGUGUUUUGGAAAUAUUUUUCUCUCCAAUUUCACUAUUUCUUCCACUACCUUACCACUGUUUCUCUCGAGUUCAAUUAUCGCUAGAUUAGCCAUCAUUCCUUACUAGCCAAUAUAUAUAUAUAUAUAUAUAUUUUUUGUUGCGGCACUAUUCAUUUGUACAUAAGGGUUAGUAUUUCUUAUGUAAGGACGAGGCUUUUGUUGGUGGAGGCGGCUACCUAGUGUUUAGAAAAAAUCUAACCUAAUAAGUCAUGCAUAUAUAUAUAUAUAUAUAUAUUAGUAGCAGGUCAUUUAUGCAGAUUGUUUAGGCGUCUUUCCUAUUACUCUUAAAAGGAUAGUGUGUUAGUAACAUAGUUUAAUAUGUGAUUUCAUUUUUUUAUUUUAUUAUUUUUUUUUUAUUUUGUUUAGUUCGUGUAAAGUUAAGCAAAUAAAUUUAUUUAAUAUCAAUAAUUCAAAUAAAUUAUCAAGAUUAAAAAAAAUGCGUAAGAAAUUAUUCCACCACAUAGAAUACACAUAUAAUAUAAUUUAUUAUAAUUUACUAUUAUCUAUUAAUUAAAUAUUUAGGGUGUUAUAUAUCACGAAUUCAGAAUUAAUUUAGGUCCAUUAAUUCCGUUUAUAGUAAAUUCAAUUUAUAACUUAUGCUAUUAAUAGAUAUUAUUGGCUAUUAUACGGAUAUUUAUGGCACAACAUCAUCAUCAUUAUUAUAUUUUAUAUAUAAAUGAUAUAGUUAUUUUUAUAUUUAUACUUCAUAAAUGUAAAUUCGAAUAAUAAGGAUCUAGAUAACAACACUACUAAAAUAUGAGGCCUAAGAUCAUAGCAAUUCAAAACUAGUAUAUAUUAUUGUUAUUAAAUAAAAUAAAUAGAUUUAAUAACAAUGAUCACUGAUUUUUAUUUAAAUAACUAUAAGGACAAACAUGAAGACAAUCACAAAAGAAAAUUAUUCUACCACAAGGAACACAUGUGUAAGAAAAUAUCACUAAUUUAUAAUAAUAAUAAUAAUAAUAAUAAUAAUAAUAAUAAUAAUAAUAAUAAUAAUAAUAAUAAAUUAAGGUAUAACAAUAAAUUAGGGUGUUACAUCUUGUCUCAUGCUAACCACAUGGAAAUACAAGAAACCUUCAAGAACUAAGAAACCAUGACCCAACCAGAUUUGGGUACCAAAGGAUAAGAUUAUUUAUGUUGUAGAUGUUCUAUGCAACCAAAUUGAAACACCAUUCAAAGUGCCUGGUCAGAAAAAGGUUUAUGUUCCAAGACUUAACAAAUAGAAGCCAACUGACUCUGGUGGAAAAAGGAUUGGUUUGCAUAACACCUAUCACAACCAAAACCAUAUGAUGAACCAGAAACAUCAAAAAAAUCUAGAGUAUCAACAUAAUCAAAUCUGACAGAGAAAUCACACAUAUCAACAAAACUAGAACUACCAGAAGAAUCAGAAUUACCAUCAGCUCUAAAAUUACCAAAGGAAUCUGAUACAUCAGCAGAAACAGAAGUGUCAAAUUAACAAUCAGAAUCGAGAGACUUCUUUGAGCACUCCAAUCAAAUUCAUCAAGACUACAAACCUAGAUGAGAAUUCAAAUCCCUUCAUCCAAACAUUCUAAUAAAAGAAUAUGCAAAUUCAAUAUCUGAAAACUAGAAAAGAAGAAAUAAGAGGGUUUUUAGAGUGAAACUGAAAUUGUUGACAUAUAGGUUAUAUAUUUCUCUAAAUUUAAUUAUUAUCUGAUAUUAUGUUUACUGUGAUAACAAGAAGCUUGAUCUUAAAAAUUCAAACUAGAUAAGUAUUUUGCAGGUUCUCAAAAAUUUAGAGGAAUAAGAAGAUCCACAUAAUCUGUAUACUUCAGUAGAAGUAGCAUACAAGUUUAGUUUUCAGAAACACACAAAAACCACCAGAAACAAAACUGAUGUUUUGGUUGUAUUGAUUUUAUUCUCCAAUUAUCUGAUUUAUAUUAUGUUUUAUGACAAACAACUUGAUCUUAAAAUGUCAAAGCAAGUUGAGGAUACUACUAGUUUAUCGGAACUAAAGGAAGCAGAUGCAAACAAACCAAAAUAUGACAAAUCUUUAAAGGAUGAAUAUGAUCAAGUUAGAAACAAUCAAGAUAAGUCUGAAGGAAAAUCUUGAUGGAUGUACAAGUCAUCUUAUCCUAAAAAUCUAAUAAAAUGAAGUAAAAAUGAUCCUUUGAAGACCAAACCAUUACUAAAAGUUACCACUUUGUUUGGCUUACUCUCAUCAAUUGAGCCUAGAUCUAUUGGUGAAGCAUUGGCAUAUGAUGGAUGGAUUCUUGCAAUGCAAGAAAAGUUAAAUGAAUUUAAGAGGAAUGAUGUUUGGGAUCUUGUACCUAGACCAUACAAGAACGUUAUUGGAACCACAUGGGUUUUUAGAAACAAGGCAAGACUUUUUGCACAAGGCUACAAUCAACAAGAGGGCAUUGAUUACACUAAGACAUUUGCUCCAAUAUAUAGGUUAGAAGUUAUUCGUAUCCUACUUUCUAUUGCUGCAAAUAAUAACAUUUCAUUAUUUCAAAUGGACGCUAAAAGUGAUUUUCUAAAUAGUUAUAUAAGUGAAGAAGUCUAUGUUAAACAACCCACAUGUUUUAAAAGUUCUGAAUUUCUAAAUCAUGUUUUUAAACUUAGGAAAUAUCUGUAUGGUUUAAAACAAGCACCUAGGGCAUGAUAUGAUAGACUUAGUAACUUCUUGCUUAAAAAUAACUUUGAAAAAGAACAAAUAGAUAAUACACUUUUUAGGAAAAUAGGAGAUGACAUUCUUAUUAUUCAAAUUUAUGUUGAUUACAUUAUUUUUGGAUAUACUAAUCACACUUUUUGCCAAAAGUCUUGUAAAUUAAUACAACUCGAAUUUCAAACGAGUAUAAUGUUAUAACUUAAGUUUUUCUUGGGGAUCCAAAUUCAUCAAAGUAAAAAAGGUAUAUACAUUCAUCAAACUAAAUAUACAAAAGAGUUUCUUAGAAUGUUUAAGAUGAGUGAUUGCAAAGCUAUGGCUAAACCAAUGCACCCUACUUGUUCACUUGAAAAAGAUGAUUCAGGUGAAAAAGUUGACCAAAAAAACCUAUAGAGGAAUGACAAGAUCCGUACUUUACCUUACCACUUCCAGACCUGACAUUAUGUUUAAUUUAUGUCUAUGUGCAAGAUUUCAAGCUGACUUUAUGAGAUCAUAUUUAACUGUUGUAAAAGGAAUCCUUAGAUACCUAAAAGGCACUACCAGCCUUACCUUGUUAUACGAGAAAUCUCCUAAGUACAAACUGAGUGGAUAUUGUGAUUCUGAUUGUGCUGAAGAUAAAUUUGAGAGAAAGCGCACUAGUGGCAACUACACCUUUCUUGGUUACAACUUAAUAUCUUGGUCAAGUAAGAUACAAAACACCAUUGCAAUGUCAACAACAAAGGCCAAGUACAUUUCAGUAGCUGACUGCAGCUCUCAACUACUUUGGAUGAAACAUCAACUUGAAGACAAAAAAAUCCUAGAACCCAACAUUCCCAUCUAUUGUGAUAAAACUUCUGCAAUUUGUCUAACCAAAAACUCUAUCUUACAUUCUAGAGCUAAACACAAAGAUAUCAAACACCACUUCAUUACAAACUUUGUUCAAAAAGGGGUACUAAACAUUCAAUUUGUAGAUACUAAGCACCAAUGGGCUAUUCACCAAACCACCACCUGAAGAUAGGUUUGACUUCAUCAAGAAAAACCUAAGCCUUACCGUCAUACUUGACUGAUGUUGUGAUCAAUUCAAAAUAAUUUAGCUUUACAUUAGUUUUUAUAUUUUCUUGUAAUAUGUUAUAUUCAUGUUAAUAAAAAAAACGAAAAAAAAAAACAAAAAAAAUAAAUGAAAGAAAAAAAAAGUCUCACCUUCAAGUCUUAUUGUCUGAUGACAAAAGGGAGAGAAAUAUAUUUCAUAAAGUGGGAGAGAAAAUGAUACUUAGACUCAGGGGGAGCCGUAAAUUAGGGGGAGUUAAAUAAAUAUAAAGAAAAGUUGUUAUAAAAAAAUAUAAAUUUUGUCAUAAUAAAAAAGAGGGAGAUUGUUGGAACCAAGUUGAUUUUAUACUUAGAGUUUUUAUGAUAACAAAAGUAUUUUAUGAGAACAAUAUAUUUGACUUCUUAGAGUAUGAAAUAAGAUAUGGUCAAGAUUUGAAGAAGAUUUUGUCAAAAUUUAUCUACACCAAAAUAUGAACAUAAUCAAUUUGAAGAAUUUAUACUUAGAGUUUUUAUGAUAACAAAAGUAUUUUAUGAUAACAAUAUAUUUGACUUCCAAGAGUAUGAAAGAAGAUAUAGCCCAGAUUUGAAGAAGACUUGAUCAAGAUUUAUCUAUAGCAAAAUAUUAACAGAAUCAAUUUGAAGAAUUUAAAAAAAAAUCUAAACAAAAUACGAACAAAAUCAAUUUGAAGAAUUUACAAUCUCAAUCGAAACAAAAUAGGUACACAAUGUAUCCGAAGAAUAUACUAAUGCAAUCUGAACAAAAUACAAUUGAGAAUUAAACAAGGACUAAAUUAAAGCCCAAGAGUAGUAGUCAAGGCUGGAGAAGAAAAUCAUCGAAAAACAUAAAAGAUAAGUCCUAGAUUUCGAAGAGAGAAACACUUGUUCGAACGAGAAAUACUCUCUAAGUGUUUUUUCUUAGAAUGUGAGUGUUAUUAUUAUUAUCAGCUUUGUUAGAAGCAAACACUUAAAGUUUCAAUAUUUUUAUCCAACCCUAUAGUGGCUUAGUUCAUUCUUCAAUCUGUAGUUGUCAGGUUGUCAGGAGAAUACUUGGCUUGUAGGGUCAAUGUCGUUAGCUCCUCAAAAGUUUGGGGUUCUCAGGCUGUUUGAAAAGACUGAAUUGGAGGGCCAGGUACUUUGUAAUUCAAGGUAAUUGAAUUAGUGGAUUAAAGCCUUCUGAAUGAGGGGACUGGAUCUAUCCAAGUUAGUGGUGAACCAGAAUAAAUUUAUUUGUCAAAUUAUUUAAGCUUUCAUUGUUUGCUACCUCUGAAUUUGAUUGCUUCUUCUCCAAGUAAGUCACCAAAAUCGAACUAGUUUAUUUAUUUAUUUAUAAAUUAUCAAAAAGUUAUCAACUUUAUCAAACACAAUUCAACCCCUCUUUCUAGUGUAUAUGAGAAUUAAUAAUCCAAUAUAAUAUCCAUAUCAUUUUGAUAGGGAUGGUUUAAUAGCCAAACCUUUUGGGAAUCACAACAUGUUGAGUCUUAUAGUGGUGAUCCUUUCGGUUGAGCUUUAAGGCAAUAUGCAAGUGAAAUAGCAAUGUCGAUUUACAAGGAAGGGGGUUUGAAUUGUAAAUAUAUAUUUUUAAAAAUUCAUGAAAUAAACUCAAGUUUUAACUCAAGAAUGAUAUUGGUUAAGAAAACAGAAAACGGAGAACGUUCUUGGUUUUUUUAUAAAACAGAAAACGUUCUUGGUUAGCUUACAAAACAGAAAAUCAGUUUGUGUUUUAUCUUAGUUAAUCAAUAAAGCUUAAUAAAUAAAGAGAUAAGAUAGAGAAUACCACACAAAGAUAUAUCCUGGUUCACCCAACUCGGGCUACGUCCAGUCCUCACACUGUGAGUUUUUCCACUAAGUGUUUAAAACAAAGAACCUUUUUGAUUUUACAGCAUCUAGUUCAGAUCAACCUUGAUCUGUUUCAAUCUCUAUUACUUUCCACCCAUAAUAUUAUUUAAUUUUUUUAGAGAGUAAAACUAGAAAGUAUUUGUCCUCUUUCACUAUGUUUAUGUACUCUAGUUCUUGAUUUCUAAGAAAUUGCUCAUGAUACGAAUUCUUGUGUGUAUCUCUAUUUGAAAUUCACGGGGAUAUGAAAUAAUUGAAAAAUUGCUCUCUCUUUCUUACUUAAGGGAAACUUGUUGAGAAAUUGAUAAUAUUAUUUAAUUUUUUUUUAGAGAAUAAAACUUGAAAAUUAUUGUUUGACAAAUUAGUUGGAGUUAACCAUCUAUUUGGCAUAAUAUCGCUUCACUCAACUUUAAGUAAUAAGUUUAUCAUUACUAAAUCUAUAAGACUUAUUUCCUUCGUUCGUGAUUGAAAUAUUAUAUGCAAUUGUUUAAAUGAUUCAUUGUGUCAUGUUAGUUUAUAAUGCUAAGCUAAUUGAUUUUUGACAUGUUGUGCUUAAACGAGUAAUGAAAUUUAGAAUAUAUGUUAAUUAAAUUUAGAAUUAAUUUUCUUUAUAUGAUGUUUUAAUCUUGUACAUGUUAAACUAAAUGAUUGACAUAGAUAUCAAAUAUUAUAUUUUUAUAUUUUUCUAAAAAUAAUAGUAUUUUAGUGUACACAUUUUAAAGUCUAGGAUUUUAGGCGAUUCUACGUGCAUAUAUGCAUUUGUAACUAAUUUGAUGCGCCUUGUAUGUUGACUAAUGUUAAGUGCGCACAUAAUUAUAUUUAAUUAUUUUUAAAUAUAUCUUAUUUUAAUUAAUUAUUUUAUAAAAAAUUAUCUUGAGACAGUAGUAAUAUUGAUAUUGACUUUCUUUAUUUUUAUGUGGUUGUUACGGUAUGAUGAUUUUAUACAUAUUAAUUUUGAUUUAGUAAUUAUUAUAAAUUAUUGAUGUUAUAUUUAUUUAUUUGAUCAUUUCGAUAUUCUAUAAAGAUGAUGUAUUUUAUGUGAUUACUUUGAAAAAUAUUAUAGUAAUAACUAUAGUUAUUAUUUUGAUCAUCACAGUUUUGAUUAAAAUUAUAUUUAUCUAUGUUAAGGAAAAAUAAUAUUAUGUUAAAAUGAGUGUUUUGGAGAAAACGUUUCUAGCGUAGAUAAAUAAAAUAAAUGAUUUAUUAAUGACUUUUAGAAAUACUAGAAAAUAAAUUUUGGACCAGAUAACUGUUUACACCCUUAUUUUCUACUUAUGCAUAUUAAUUUGUGCUAUUAUUGGUUGGACUUUUAUUUCCUACGGUUGCUGCGAAGGACAAUUCUACCCUGCACCCCCAUACCUAAACUUGCCACCCCUCAAGACAAAUGGAAAUACAAUUUUACCCUUUUAACCAUUUAUCAUAAGUUUCAAAAUUGAUAGUUUCGGAAGUUUCAAAUUUUGAAAUUUUCGAAUUUUAAAUUUUUUGAAAUAAGGAUUACGUUUCGAAAAUUUAGAAUGUUUCGUAAGUUUCCAAAUUUGGAAAAUUUCGAAAGUUUCCAAAUUUGGAAAAUUUCGAAAGUUUUGAAUUAUUUGAAAGUUUCAGAAAUUUUGGAAUUCUAUUUCGAAAGUUUCGAAUUGUUCAAAGUUUCGAAAAUUUUAGAAAUUGACAUGUUGAAACUUUCGAACAUUCUAGAAAGAGCGGUGAAAAAAUUAAAAAUUAAAAAUGUUGAAGGGCAAAAUUGUAUUUUUCACGUUGGUUGGGGGUGAGAGGUUUAGAUGUGGAGGUGCAGGGUAGAAUGCUCUGGUGCGAGUUGCUCAUUACACUCCUAUUUCUGUCUCAGACUUUACUAUCACGUGUUGGGUCUUACCGUUUUACUUUUUUUCCUAUACAUCUGCUAUUUGCAACCCCUCCUUCUGCGAUUAAAAGAAUAAAAAUUGAAAAUCAGAUUAAUGGCAACCAAAUUGCAGCAAACCUUUUUUCUCUCAAAUUCACUGCCAACAAUUCUUUGUCAUUUGAAUCGAUCUCAAUCACUGUUCCACACAAAAUCUGCCACCGAAUCUAUUUUUGGUUUCAAUUUUAUCGAUCAUGACUCAUUUUCAUUAGAACUUAUAACUUAAAAGAUAACAUUUUUGAAACUUUUAACUCAAUUUUAUCAAUCAUGGCUUCAAUUUAAUUUGCCACAUUAUACUUUUUUAAAGGAAUUUAUAAAAAAUUUACGUAAGUGGAUUAUAACUUAAAAGUUAAUUUAUUUAUAAUUUAUGGACAACUAAUUAAUUAUUUUUUAUCAACAAAUGUCAAGAUGAAAAUCCAUCUUGAAUCAUUAUUAAUAAUUUUAAUUGUUUACAAUAGUUUUUAUUAAAAAUAAUGCAAUUCAUGAUCAUCUUCUUUCAAUAAAUAUUAGAUUUACUAUACCCAUUAAAUAAACAACUUUUUAAAACUGAAUCUAAGAAAUGAGAAUUCAAAUUUAUGAUCAUAAAUGAACAAAGAGUAGAAAUAUGUCAAAACAAAUAUCUCAUCGCACGAAAUAAAAUUAUUCUCUCAAGAACUAAACCAUUUAAAUUUAUGAAGGUCAAAGAUUAAACCAUUUAAAUUUGUCCAAAAAAAAAAUUUGAAUUUGCAAAAAAAAUAACGUUAUUCAACCAAAUAAACGAAACAAAGGAUUCAAGGACCGAAGGGUCCCCUAAACUUUUAUAAAAUAUUUCGAUAUUAGUACGUUAUUAUAAUUUUUUAUUUCUGUACUAAAUCUCAAUGUUAGUAUGUUAUUAUGUGGAAUGUGUUCAAUUUAAGAUUCUUGGUGCUAUGGGAGCAUUAGACGUUGAUUGUCAAGGUUAAAUUGUGGGUCAAUGUGAGGGAAAUAAAGGAUAGUCUUAUGAACUUUGAAGGUUAAUUUUUAAAAGCGUCUUCUUUUGGGGAUCAAUGUGAAUAAUUCUCGGUUGAAGAGACGAUACAAGUAUUUUAACACUCUAAAUUUUAUAAUAAAUUAUUUUAUUGAUGAAAUAUAAUUUCAAAUAUUUAAACUGAUGUUAAAAUUAUUUUAUAAUAUAUGUUAAUUAAAUUUAGGAUGUUUUAAUCUUGUACAUGUUAGACUAAAUGAGUGAUAUAAAUAUCAAAUAUUAUAUUUUAUAUAUUUUUCUAAAAAUAAUAGUAUUUUAGUGUACACAUUUUAAAGUAUAAGAUUUUAGACGAUUUUACGUGCUUAUGUGUGUUUGUAGUUAAUUUGAUACUUUCUUGUAUGCUGACUAAUGUUAAGUGUGCACACAAUUAUAUUUAAUUAUUUUUAAAUUUAUCUUAUUUUAUUUAAUUUAAUUAUUUUAUAAAUAAUUAUCUUGAGAUAUUAGUAAUAUUGAUAUUGAUUUUCUUUAUUUCUAUAUAGUUGUUACGGUAUGAUGAUUUUUUACAUAUUCAUUUUGAUUUAGUAAUUAAUAUAAAUCACUGAUGUUAUAUUUAUUUAUUUUAUCAUUUCGACUAAUCUAUAAAGAUGUUGUAUUUUUAUAUUAUUAUUUUGAAAAACAUAUUAUAGUAAUAAUUAUAGUUACUAUUUUGAGUAUAAGAGUUUUGACUAAAAUUAGAUUUAUCUAUAUUAAGGAAAAAUAAUAUUAUGUUAGAAUGAGUGUUUUGGAGAAAACGUUUAUAGCGUGGAUAAGUAAAAUAAAUUUUUUAUUAAAGAUUUUUAGAAAUACUAGAAAAUGAAUUUUAGACCAGACGACUGUUUACACCCUUAUUUUUUUUACUUCUGCAUAUUAAUUUGAGCUAUUAUUGGUUGGUUUUUUAUUUCCUACACCUGCUGCCUCAGACUUUACUAUCAUGUGUUGGGACUUACAGUUUUAUUCUUAUAUCUCUACGUUUUCUCUCUACACCACUCAUAUUGCAAUUAAAAAAAUAUAAAUUGAAAGUCAGACUAAAGGCCGCGAAACAAUUUUUCUCUCAAUUUCGUUUCCACCAAUUCUUUGUUGCUUGAAUCGAUCACAAUCUCUGUCCACACAAAAUUGGCCACUAAAUCCAUUUUUGGUGCCAAUUUUAUCAAUCGUGGCUCCGUUUCAUAAAAACAAAUGCGUUUCUUUCGUUGGGCGAGAUAUUUUUGGCCAAAUCUGAUCACUACGUUUGUCGUCUCAAAAAAAUAGUAUUAUUUUUGGAUUUCUCUUGUCGAAACUUACAAGAAGAACUACUCAUUUACAUUUUUCAUUGAAGUUGAAGUCGGACACUUAUGGCACUCGGAUGUGGAGAUUAUUUUAUCAUAAUAUAAGUAGGGUCUAACAAGCCUAGUGAUUUCGAGGAAGUACAACUGAAUGCGCCUGAUCAUGGAAGUCUGCUGUUGAGCCUUAAGGCAAAAUUGUUAGACAUUGGAGAUAUUCGGAUGGAGAAUUCCUAGGUGACUAGGAGGUAGCACUCCAAAUGUCGACAACUACCAUGCAACACACAUUUACCUCUACUUUUGCAUAUAUGUGACUCAGAUGGAGUUGAGGGUGAAGUAGUAAUAUCGAUUUACAAGGAAUGGGGUUUAAAUUGUAAAUGUUUCUAUUUAAAAAUUCCUGAAAAACUUAAGGAUUUUACUUAGGAAUGAUCUUGGUUAAGAAAACAAAAAACGGAGAAUGUUAUUGGUUAGCUUGAAAACAAAAAUUCAGUUUAUGUUUUAAUUCAAGUAAUCAAUCAGACUUAAUAACUAAGGAGAUAAGAGAACUAAUAUAUGUGAAUAAAAAUAUGUGAAUAAAAAUAUUCAGCUUUUGAAUACUUUUUAAAAUCUAUUUGACUGGGAUGGUUUAUUCGUUCAUGAUCAGUUUUAUCUUGUGUUUAAUGAUCCUUUAUGCUUCACAUAAAUUUGUUGAUGUUAAAUCUUUGAUCUGGAAACUCGACUCUGUUCAAAUCAAUUUGGAGAAUGAUGAUGAACUUCUACAGAUAUAAGGAGAUUGAUACCGAGCUUCUGCAGAAUUAUGGAGAUUGAUAAUUGAUCUAGAUUGUCAGUCUUGUACUUUCAGGAGAUUGAUGAUCAAUCUUGAGGUUCAUUGUUUGAUCAUUCUGGACGACUUCUCGAUCAAUCUGGAUGACUUUGUACAUACCAAAAUUGAUUAACUUUCUUGACAAUUAAGUUGGAGAAGUUUCAUACUUGUUUUAUCUUUUUUGAUUCAUGAGUUUUUAUCUUAGUGAUUCGAAUGCCUUCUUUGACUAGAAUGAAUCAUACUUGUUCCUUGCCAAGUACUGAUAACAUUAGCAUGAAAUUCAGAGGCAGAAUCUUUUAUGAACUAAUGCAGAUUGAUUAAUCUUGAGGCUGUGAUGAUCAGUCUUGAUCUUGGAGAACAUUCUCCGUUUUAUCUAGAAUGUUCUUGUUUCUUUAUCUGUUCAGUUUUUAUCUGAUUUCUUUGCUUUGCUUGAUUCCUAUCUUUGAAUUAAUUAACUCAAAAGCACAAGUUAAAUUAACAUAAUAUUUUAAAAUCAUAAUUAACAUUCUUAAUUAACCUUUAUUUAUUUUCAUCAAAACUUUAAUUUGAGAGUUUGUCUUAACAGAUGGGAUCUACGAGGAUAUGACCAAUUUGAAUUGUCCGUCCACCGGGAUAGUGUCAUGGUAUCAAGCCUCCUAACCAAGUACUUCAGAGUUAAAAUGGUACCACUUUGUGAAGUAGAGUCUAAGCUCAUGCAUAACAUUGCAUUUUCUUGUGAUUGUUUUUGUGUGAUUAAUGGGUAUCAUGUGCAAUAAUAAUUUCUCUUAGAAGAUUUGAUGUUAUAGUGAAAUGUAUUAAUUUUUUUUGGAGAGGUUUUAGAUUUAUAAUGUGAGUUAUUUCCUUGAAGAAUGUUUGUGUAACGAUACAGUUUGUUUAUGAUUAAUUGUGUGUUCUUCUUGCGUACUUAUAUUAUACUAUUAACAUGAUUUCAAAACUCAUCUCCUUCGUUGUUUAUGUUUGACUGACUCGACCUUGCGUUGAAGUUCAAGUUGGGAGAAACCCCACUCUGAUAGGUGAUAAUAGGAAUAAGAGUUUUGAAUUGUAUUUUACUUUUACUUUUUAUUAGAAAUGACUUUUUGUAUGAAAAUCUUAUAAGCACUAGUAAGUUUUUGGAAUUAAAUUAAGAAAUUUUAGUUAAAUCAAAUAUAUGGAGAUUGCAUCAUUUUAUAAGAGGUAACAGUUUAAAGUGUUGUUUUUUGAAUUUUGAGAAACUUGAUAACCUAAAUUAAUUAAAAAAAGUUUUUUAUUUACUUGAAAAUAUAUCUUCUUUAUCAGUUGCUAAUGUAUCAAAAACAAAAAAAAAAAUCUACUAAAAAUUAUUAUAUAUUAUUUUGGGGUUUAGGGUGUCACAUUAGUGGUAUCAGAGCAUGUAUGUCCAAUGAGAACGAGUGAGUCGAGUGUUGAUUCAUUAAUCGAAUGUUAGUCGUGUCGGUUGUGUUUUGUUAUGUAUUAAUAAUUUUCAAUAUCAUAAUUUUUUUUCCCGUUAUAUUAUUGUAUUAUGCACAAUAUACUUUUGUAUGCUUUUAAUAUUUUUGAAGUUACUAAUUAACAAUUUAUUUCUUGUUUAUUUUGAUUGUAAUGCACAUUCUUAAUUUCUAUCUAAAUGUCUAAAUAUAACAUGAAUUGUUGACAAUACAAACCUUUUGAUUGGACUUGUGGUUUGAGUUUCGAACUUCGAUUAUUUGUUUUUGUUAGAGUGGUAAUUAGAAAUAAUUUUUUUUAUUGACUAGCUAUAUCAUUGAAAUUAUUAAUUUAAUUGGGGUAAUAUUAAUUAUCGAUUAUAGAUCUUGCCUUUUGGGAUCAUAGCAUGAUUAUAAAAAUUUUGGUAAAUUAAUUUAGAACGUUGUUGUGAGUUUUUAGAAUUUAAAAAAAAAAUUCGAUGAGGGAGUUAAAAUUGGCUUAUUUUGUAGAAUGAAAAUAACUUUUAUUUGAAUUACUUUUGAUUAUUUUAAAGAAAUUACAUUGAGUUGGAUUUUUGAUGAUUUAUAAAAUAAUAAUAAUUCUAUAUUCUUGAUUUUAUUUAACGUUUAAAAUAGCUAAAAAUUUACACCAUAUUUUAUUACAUGUUAUUUUUAAGAAGAAAAAAAAAAGAUUUGUUGUUUAUAUGGUUUAGAGGGCCUCAUGUAAAUAUUGGAUCUUGAGAGUGUCGAAAUAUUUAUUUGAAAUAAUUGAUUUUUUAAUUAUGAUUUUGUGAACUCAUUAGAGUUUAACUUGAUGUUUAGGCUUGAAGAAUUCAUUAGAGAUUUAUAAUUGUGUUAAUAAAAAAAGUAAAAUGAUAAAAUGUCUAUUAAUUGAAAAAGAAAAGAAAAAUAAAAACAAUGAUUUUAAAACAAUUAUCUCAAUAGUUAAACUCCUUUUGAAAAAUUAUCUAAAUUUUAGAUAAUCGAUUUAUUUUAUGAGUAGAAUGUUUUUUUUUUUUGAGUAGAAAUGUAGUUUUUGUGUUAUCAUUGUCAAAAUGUAUAUUUGAGUUUAAUAUGAGAAGAUGAUAUGUUGUUUAUAUAUUUUUUCUUGUUACAUGAAUUAACCUAACAAAAUGAUAUGCAUCAUGUAGAUUGGUAUGUGUAAAGUGUAUCAUGUAGAUUGAUAUGUGUAUAGAGAUUAAAAUUUAUUUUAUCCAUUUUAUUAAUUAUAAAAUUGCAUUUUUUUUUAUUAGGGAUCUAAUUUUUAAGAUUAAAAUAGACCUCUAAAAUCUUUAAAAUUUAUGGUGUGUUUUGUUUUAGAUCAAUUUUAUGGCUUGAUAGAAACUCGAGAUGUAUCUAUACGCCUAUUGAGUACUUGAUGUGAGAGGAAGUUGUUAUUUUGUAGAUUUGUCAAUUAGUGUUAUCAUAACCAAAUAUGUCUUAUGAUUUGUGUCAUGUGCACAACUACUUUAAUGUAGAAAAGUAUAUGAUUUUUUUUUGUAAGUAUUGAGAAAAGAAAUUGGAACUAUUUCAGAUGUGUUAAUUAAUUGAAAAAUUUCCUAUCUAUCUAUAUAUAUAAUUGAAAUUUUCUUUCAAAAGAUAAGUUGAAAAUAAUUAUUUUAUAGUGAUUAUUUAUAUAAAAAUGUGUUUUCGAUGAUUAAAGUACAAGUGAAAUUUUAGAAAUCUUAUAGAUUUUUAAAAUACAUGUAAUUUAUUAUUUUUGUUUUAUUUUUUAUUUAGACGUGAUUUAUUGAAAAAUAGUUUAAGGAAAAAAACUUUGAAUUCUCAAUGAAUUUUUGUUGUGCUAAAUGAUUAGUGAUACAUUUUAUAAUAAUUUAAGUGUAGAAAUCAAUUUUUAAAAUUACGUGUAACCUUUAAAGUGGUUUAUGUACUACCUAAUUCAAUUUGGUUUGAUAGCGUGUUGAAUCUUUUCGUAAAUAAAUAUUUCGCUAUAUGGAAAAUAUUUCCUUUAGUUUGUUGUAACUUUUAAAUGAUGAAGAUUAACUCAAAAGAAAAUUUAGUCGUGGUCAAUUUGGAACAUGUGUGAAGAAUCAUCGUUUGAGUUAUGAGAUGAACAAAUCUUGAUGCUAAUUUUUGGAUUAGUUAUGUGAUGGUGUAUACGAUUAUCUAAAUAUCAAAUUGUUUGUGUUUCAAGUGUUCUAUUUAUUGGGAAUUAGUAUAUAGAGUAAGAGUAUUCGAGAGUAUUUAAAAGUGAAAUAAUUUUAUAUUUUUUUAUCCAAUUAUUGAUUAUAUAUUGAUGCAAUUGUCUUUGUUACUACUCGUUGUGACACCGUAAACUCAAAAAUAUUAUGUUCAUUAAAAAAAUGAGCAUGUCAUUGCAUUGCAUAAUAUUCUUAAAAUAUUAUGUUAUUGAUGUAUGUGAAUUGUCUCAUAGUGUGUAUAAUUAAAUAUUUACUGUGUUAUAUGUUAUGAAGAUUUCAUAUGAUUUCAAUGUUCAUCUCUCAUGCUCUAUGUUUGGCGCUGCUAAACACAUAAACUUUUAACAUGCUUCAAGUGACACUUAGAGUCAAAGCAGAAGACAUGCUUUAUUGAAGUUUUACUAUUAUUUAUAUAUGUAUCGAACAUUUUAACUUUGGAAAUCAUACUAUGAUGGGUGACAUUUGGUUUUGGUAAAUAAUUAUUUUGUCAAAUUUGGUUAUAUUCUAUCGUUUACGAAUUCUCAUGUUCCACGAAUUUAAUUUGAUAUAAUUCUAAUAUUAUGAUUUUAUUGAGACUAUUUAGGUGAGUGUUUAUGACAUGUAUGUGGUAUUCUAUGCCUCUACAUAAUAUUUUGAAAACUCAUAUUUAUAUUUAUCGUAAACUAAACUAUACUGCAUAUAAAAAAAAUAAAGUUAUGUAAUUCUUGAGCAUUUGUUAUGCUCAUUCAAUAAUCCUUAUAUAUUUGAAUUAUAAUUUUCAUCAUACAACUCGCAUUUUAGGUGCUACCAGCAAAACGAGUUCCGCAAAAAUUCUCAAAAUAACAAAUAUAAAGUUUAUGAUUCAGAGAUAUUUAUAUUCUAGUUAUAUUAGGCCGUUACCAAGUGACAUGGAGUUUUAGAGUGUUUUUGAAAUUAGACAUUUGUAAAUGUUUAAGUUGAUACUCUUUUCAAAUAAAAUGUUUUGUAUAAUAUUUAUUAAAUAAAUAGUUUUUAUUUUUUAACAAAUUUUCUAUUAUAUAUAUUUUAACGUUAUUUCCGCAAAUAUAGGCAGAGGGUGUCACAACUAGCCUCUAGUGGAAAACAUAAGAGCAUGAACUCAACAUAACUUAAUUAAAUAGAAUAUGUGUCACGUCAUCUUAAAUCAUUCAUUUUUUACUCUAAAUGUUUAACUCUUAAAAAUCAUAUAGGUCCCACAACUUUAAUUCAUACAUUAAUAUAUCAUUUUUAUUUCAUUUCAUUACAACUUUAAAUAUCAAUUUUCAUAUUUUAAUUAAUAUUAUACAUUAAUUUAAAUUUAAAAUAAAAAUAAUAACGGUCAUAAAUUAAAAAAUAUAAUAUUUAUAAAUUUAUUAUUAUUAAAUUGUGAGAGUACCAUUAUCUGUUAUAGCACCAAAAACUAAAUUUUACAUAUUUUUUUGUCGUGAACAAAGAUAGUUGUCAAUCCUUAGAUAUACUCUAAGGAUGUUUCUAGUGGAAACAUAGAAGUGUAUCUAGGAUUUGCCAACUAAAAUGAUUGUCAUCCUAGUUAGAAGAAAAUCAAUUUCGAAGAAGUAAACACAAAAUGUUUUGUGAUGUUUCAAAGAAGCAUCUUUUGCAUGUGCAAUUUAUGCAUGAUUUGCCCAAUUAACUACUCUCCUUAUGCUUGAAACGAACAAAACAUUAUUUGAUCCUACAAGCAAUCAACUUUUGGAUAAAUAAUAUAAAGUAAAAGAGGAAAUAUUCAAAUCCCAAAAAGGAUAAUGCCUUAAAUAGUACAAUCAUACUUUACAAAUCAAUAUAAAAUAUAACUUCACUAUUUGAAUGAAGAAGAAAACAAAGAUAAAGAAGAAACACUGAGUCUUACAUUAUUAUGCCUCGUAUAUUUCUAAAGUAUUUUCGAAACAGCUCAUGUUGAGUGUUUUUUACUUAAUUUUAAAAGAAUUUUUUAUUUAUUUAUAAUUAAUGAAUACAUAAAUACCAAGCGCAAUCAUUUUUACACUCUUUUGAGCAUUUACUCAACUAUUGGUCCACGUUAUUAUUAUUGAAUUUUUUUCACAAGCAACCCGUCCAUUUGAUCAAAUUUGGUUUCAUACAUUUUAAAAUUAAAAGUCUUUUUUUAAAUCGAUGUCUAUAGACUUAACUAUAGACGAAACUUUAUUCUUGUCUAUAAAUAAUUGUAAAAAACGGACUAUGACAAUUAAACUCUAAAUAAUGUUAUAGUAAAAUAUGAUAUAUAAUAAAACACAAUAGAAUUAACAUAAAUAAGUUUUCAUUUUUUUUUUGUCUAUAGUUAAAUGAUAAAAAAUUUGCACUCAAUAUAUUCAAAACAUGAAAUUCGAUAUAUAACAUUUUUCAGUUGAACUAAAUUUUCUAGAUGAUCGUCUAUUUUUAUGCUACUUGAUAUAAUUUUAUUUGAUCUACCAUAAAAAAAAAAAAAAUUAUCUUAUAAAAUAUAUUCUUUGAAAGUAAAAUUUGUCCAAUAUAUUUCGUACCUUACGGUGAAGCUUCCUCCUCUCAUCUUAAACUUUUUACGUAAAAAUUAUAUUUAAUAUAAGAUCUCACAAUUUUUUAAUUUAUUAGAGUCAAACAAAUACUCUGUAUAAGAAUUACAAAAAUCAUUGCAGCAGCCAUAUCAGACACGACAUAAGAUAACAUGUAAAGUUUUUCAAAGUUUGUUACGGACAAAGGACAAGAAACUUGAGUCAUUUUGUAAAUUAUAAUGAUAAGAGUAACAUUAGUGUAUUAUAUGCUUUUUGAAGAGUAUCAAUAAUUAUCAUUAAUAUUUUGGAUCAUUGAUGAUACAUUAUAUAUUAAAAUAGUGUAAAUAAUUUUAGAUGAUUUAUGAUAUAUUAUCAUAGAAUUUUGAAGAGUGUAAAUAAUUAUCGUUAAUAUUUUAGAUAAUUUAUGAUAUAUUAUUUAUUAAAUUGGUUCAUUGUACAAUUUACUAUAUUUCAUAUUAUAAAAUAAUAAAAAUGGAGAUCAAUAAAUAUUAACUUCUCUAAAACAAAAUACAAGCAAAAAGAUGUAUUAUAUUAAAUUUUUUUAAAGAAAAUUUAAAGUGAGGAAAAUAUAUCUUAAUUUAUUAAAUACUUACAAAAAAAAAUUUACUUUAACCAUUUUAAUCACAUUAUCAUAUAUCAAAUUCACAUUCUACGAGUCAACUAUCUAUCUCUUUAUCAUUAAACCAAAAAAUUAAAAUCAAUAUUAAUUUUAAAUUAAAUACAUUAAUUUUUUGAUAGUAGAAAAUAUUAAAUAUAUUAAGUAAAAGAUGAAGGUAGUGUCCAGCUAAUAAGCUACUUAGUUUAUUGGAUAUUGUUAAAAUUUCAUGCAUAGGUUGCUGUCUCUAUCAAAUCCAAAUCCACGUUUCAUAACCAACUUGGGUCGCAUUGGUCCAAAGAAUCUUACUUAUAUUCAAAAAAGCAGGCCAUUAUUUUUCAAUAAUAGUGUGUGUAUUUUUUAUGAUCGGUGAAUAUACUAGUAUUUUUAGUUUGUUAGAUGUUGAAAACUAUGUGAAUUGUAAUAUGUAUAAAAAUCAAAGUACACCAACCAAGACAAAUAUUGAGGUUAAAAGGGUAGAGAAAAAAACUAUAUAAAGGGUGAUGCUAUCUUCCAUAAUUGCAAUACCAAAACCCACUUUGGGAAAACAUGGGGUCACUAAUGGCCUCUACUAAUCUUAUUAUUGCAUUCACAAUAAUGUCUCUUGCUUUUGCUUCUCAAAUUUCAGCAAAUAAUUAUAUCUAUUCAUCUCCACCACCACCGUCACCAAAGCCUUACUACUACCACUCACCGCCACCACCAGUGCACUCUCCUCCACCUCCUUACCAUUACAUUUCACCACCGCCGCCACCAAAGAAGCCGUACAAAUACCAUUCUCCUCCUCCACCAGUUUACAAGUACAAGUCUCCACCACCACCCUAUAAAUACCCUUCUCCACCACCACCACCAAAAAAACCUUACAAAUAUCUCUCUCCUCCACCACCAGUUUACAAAUCUCCUCCUCCUCCUUAUAAGUACCCUUCUCCUCCACCUCCACCGUAUAAAUAUCCAUCUCCACCACCACCAGUUUAUAAGUACAAAUCACCUCCUCCACCAGUGUAUAAAUACAAAUCUCCUCCACCUCCACCUAAAAAGCCAUAUAAGUAUCCAUCUCCACCUCCCCCUGUUUAUAAAUACAAAUCUCCACCACCACCAGUUUACAAGUACAAAUCACCUCCUCCACCAGUGUAUAAGUACAAAUCUCCUCCACCUCCACCUAAAAAGCCAUAUAAGUAUCCAUCUCCACCUCCCCCCGUUUACAAAUACAAAUCUCCACCACCACCGGUGUACAAAUCUCCACCUCCUCCCGUUUACAAAUACAAGUCACCACCACCCCCAGUGUACAAAUACAAAUCUCCACCUCCCCCCGUUUACAAAUACAAGUCACCACCACCCCCAGUGUACAAGUACAAAUCUCCACCACCACCAGUGUAUAAAUCUCCACCACCACCCUACAAGCAUAUAUCUCCACCACCAACGCCCAAGAAACCAUACAAGUACCCAUCACCACCACCACCAGUUUAUAAAUACAAAUCUCCACCACCACCAUACAAGUACCCAUCCCCACCACCACCUCCGUACAAAUAUCCAUCACCACCACCACCAGUCUACAAAUAUAAGUCUCCCCCACCACCGUACAAGUACCCAUCACCUCCACCGCCACCAUACAAAUAUCCAUCACCACCACCUCCAGUUUACAAGUAUAAGUCCCCUCCUCCACCUGUUUAUUCACCAC
This 65036-nucleotide long non-coding RNA is filed under the name Cicer arietinum (chickpea). RNAcentral's name for it is "long non-coding RNA (CARI_LNC003190)". The record is from RNAcentral. Lineage: Eukaryota; Viridiplantae; Streptophyta; Magnoliopsida; Fabales; Fabaceae.